RNAcentral lists this long non-coding RNA (67529 nucleotides) under Cucumis sativus (cucumber). RNAcentral's name for it is "long non-coding RNA (CSAT_LNC000712)". The record is from RNAcentral. Lineage: Eukaryota; Viridiplantae; Streptophyta; Magnoliopsida; Cucurbitales; Cucurbitaceae.
UAUUUUGUUUUUCUUUUCUUCAUGCAACCCUCUUAGGGGAAAAAAUUAUCGCCUAACCCAUCAGUUUCCUUGGGUUUGCAGGACUGUGCUGUUGGGUUACUGUUUGCUUUGCUUCCAGUACUAGGUGGGAAUUCUGGUAUUCUUCAAGGAGUGAUGUCUAUGAGUAAAGUGUACGUAUAAAUAGGAAUUUGUUUUACACAUGGGCAUACCCUCAAAUCUAGUUGUUACGUUUUUUCAGACAUAGUAAGUACUAUAAAUGGUUAUCUCAUGAGAAUUUUGAAGGUGCUUGCAAGUUUGCUUGGACGCUUAUGCAUUUAAAAAAAGAAAACCAAACAGUAAAUUUACUUCUUGGGCUUAAUGCUACUGGUGGUGUUCUUUCUAGAACACUUAAAGAAAGGACCAAAGAGUUCUCUAAAAUGUCUGGGAUACUUUUCUUCUGGUUACAAACUUGUGAAGUUCAAAGAUUAAGUUUGAGCUCCUUUGAGUUUGUGCAUGUUAUUCCUUCUUGUGAGGUAUUUAUUAUUAUCAAAAGAAGAGCAGAACUAGGUGCAUAAAACCAUAUUGUGUAUUUAUUAUCAGUACCUCGUGGAACUAGCUUUUUACGCCUUUUGCAGAUGGUUAGUUAUUCUUGAUAAGUCCAGGCCAGGAACUGGUUUUGUAUGACAUGUAGAUUAUACGAGAAAUUGUAGGGUAUGAAUCUUAUAUUUACAAGGUUUUGUAUUUCUCAAUCAGGUUGGUGAUCUUGGUUGGUUUUUUGGUUGCUUUGUCAAUUUUAUCCCGUACAUGUAUUCCUUGGCUCUUAAAACUGAUGAUAAGUCUAUCAUCACAGGUAUGCUUUAUUGCAUCUAUAUAUUUAUUAUUAUUGAAAUUUAUAUACCUGAUUUAACAACUAUCCGAAUUUCAAAUGCAUUGUCUAAUUUAUUUUUCUCUGCAGACCAACGAACUUUAUCAAUUAGCCUCAGUGGCGUUCUGCUUGCUUGUAGCCUGGGUCAGUAUCUACUUUUUUUUUCUGAGUUUGAUUUUAUGCAUGUGGAGAUGUCAUACUUUGAAUUGUUAUCAUUUCUAUCAUUCAGGUUUUUUAUGUAUAGGGGUACUAAGAAAGAACAUCAUUAAUUUUUUUAAAUAAAAAAUCAAACUUCCAUUUUGAAUCAUGAAAUUUUUUAAGGGCAUAUGUAAAGACAGCCCAGACAAUAGGAGACCUAACCUACUUAUAGGGCCACUAAUCCAAUAGAAUAAGGCCUGAUGGAUUAUUACAGAAGGCCUUAGAGCCCACUAUCCACCACAAGGGGGUCUUAAACUCAGUAUUAUUCCAAAGAACGCACCAAGACCGUUGAAACCCCUAAAGAAAUAUCUAAAGAUCCCAAUAUUUCGUUCACAACAAAUACACCUCCAAACCUAAAACAAAUAACAAUAAAUAGAAAUAAAUAAAUAAAUAAAAAGUCUUCCAAAGCACUUGCCUUUUAUAUCUUUGAAGGGAGGGAAUGGGACAACUUCCUUUUACUGUACACCUUUCUUCUUUUUUAAAUUAUAACUCUCUGGUGUAUGCCUACUUUGAUGGGAUACUAUUCCCAUGACUAAUGAAGUUGUAUAAUUUUAUUGGUCGCUAUAUGAUCAAUUGAAAUUACUUUGUUGGUGCUUUUCUGUUAAUUAUUGUUUUUACAAUUUCAGUGUAGUGAUAAGUUGGGCCUCAGUCUAGAAUUGGGUUCCUUUGCCGCUGGAGUGAUGAUAUCCACAACUGAUCUUGCUCAACACACACUUGAACAAGUAAGGCAUUUCAUUCCAUACUUUGUUUCAAGAGAUGUGUGGCUUAAUUGUAAUGUUACCAAGGCAUGUUGGUCUGGGUGUAUAAACUAUACAUGCAUAUAUGAAGAGUGUGUGCAUGUACUGUUUGUAUAUAUGUGUAUGUAGGUGAAUAAGGUGUUUAUUGCUCUUGCUUCUGUGUGGGGGUUUCAUAUGCUGUUAGUUUGUUUAUUUUUGUAUGGUCUUCAGAAAAUUGUAUCACAAUAUCCGAAUACUGUUAAUAUUCAAGAUGAUAGGAAUGGGUGUGAAAAGAAAUAAGGAAAAUAAGGUGGGUAGGAAUUUUGAAGGGCGAGGUGAAGUUGGAUAGAGGGAGGAUGGAUUCUUGCACUUUAAUACAGAUAAUAGGCUAGAAUUUUGUUUGAAAUGUUUGCUUUUCUGUCUCCCAAGAGUUAUGUGUUGAUUCCUAUUGAGUGAUUUUAUAAUUGCUUGUCUACAGAUAGAGCCUAUAAGGAACUUUUUUGCGGCCCUUUUUCUUGCCAGCAUUGGAAUGCUGAUACACGUUCAGUUUUUGUGGAACCACGUUGAUAUAUUAUUAGCAGCUGUUAUACUGGUGAUAAUUGUAAAAACAAUCGUAAUUAGCACAGUGGUGAAGGGAUUUGGGUAUAACAACAGGACAGCACUUUUGGUGAGGUUAUAUUACUAUAUCCUCGGCAUUCAUCCUUGUUCAUGAUAUGUUAUAAAUAACUGGUUUUCUCUUCUGGAUAUUGAUUUGUGAUGUGUAGGUUGGAAUGUCUUUGGCUCAGAUAGGAGAAUUUGCUUUUGUUCUUCUCAGCCGUGCUUCUAAUCUUCAUCUAGUUGAGGUCAGUGCCAUUAUCUUGCUUCUCAGGAAAAACAUUAAAUGAGAUGCAUGUAAAAAAAAUCUACUGUUAAUCAUAAAUGAUGAUGCACGAUCUCUGAAAUUCUUGGGGGAUGUUUUGGCGUGGAUUCAGUUUGUUCAGUUCAGCCUGGACUUGGGUAGUCUGGCGGUGGGGGUUUAAUCUGAGUCGUGAGAGUUUAGGAGGUCUGACGACCUUACUUGAACAUGAUUUGUUCUUCUAUAGGCUGUACAACUAUGUCCUUGAGAUGAAGAAAAUUGUGCUUGGUGUACAAGCUUAGGAAAACUAUAUAUUAAACGAAUCAUUAGGACUCAUAUUUACUCAAGUUUCUAAAAAAAAAAAAUGAAAAUCUUGUUAUUCCAAUAUGAUAAUUUCAAAGUUCAAAUUGUUUCUUCAAAUUUCUUUAUAGGAAAAAAGUGUUUCAUAGAACUGUGUUGUUUCAGUUGACUAGCUUCAAAAUAAAGUACUUUCUCCGGGCUGUUUUAAAAUGAUUAGUUAAAUGCUAUUUUAUUGUGACUAAGUUUAAUCUAAAAAAAGGUGAUUAAGUUUAAAUUCAAUACCAUACACACACUUCUGUUACUUAAUAUUUUGAAUCAAAUACUUAUUUUAAUAUGGCAAUUUUUUCCUAACUAUAAUCUUUUUUAUUAACUUCAAAAUAAAAUAAUGUUUACUUUUACUUAUUUUUUUCUACUUAAGAAGAGUUACUUUCAUUACCUUGAAUAUGGGUAAUCUUGUAUACAUAUAUUUAAUAAGCUAACUUCAAAUUAAAUACUCCGGAGUUAACUGCUCUACUUAAAUUAUUACUAUAUUAAAUUCUUUUAAUAUAAAAGUUCAAGAUUACAAAAGUGGGGAGGGGAGGGGAGCACAAUCAAAUGGGGCAAAAGCGUUGAAUAACUGAAAAAAUGGAAAUAUUGUUAAGAUCGCCCAGUUAUGUAGCCAUAUUUUUUAAACUAUUGUUACGUAAAAAUGGAUGAAUGAAAAUAAUACAUCUUUUCUUAUUGGAUACUGAUAUUAUGAUAAUUUUCAGGGGAAACUGUAUCUAUUGCUUAUUGGGACCACAGCCCUCAGUCUGGUGAGAUGUAAUCCAUUUCUGCAUGUUUAUAUAUCUAUGUAUCUACAUGAUGGUUUCAUAUGUGUCAUCAUAUGCUGUUGUAAUGAUUAUAUUUCUUUUCUCUGCAUGGUUUUAUUAAUUUUUUUUAUUGGCUUAUUUUGAGUUAUCUGCUAUUCCGUUUGAGACUUCUUUUAGAUAACAAAUAUACUUAAGAAUUAUGAAUAAUUUAGAAAUAGUUGAAAUUGUUAGCUCAAUUUUUCAUCACAAAAACAGGAAUUAGUUGAAAGCCAUUUCUUCAAUAUGAUUUGACAGAAAGAAGGAAGGCAUUGUAUUGGAACUUGGAAGUUAGGACAUUGAUUUGUCUGAAGGAUCAAUAACAAAACAAUAAAAAUUAAAAGCCAUCCAAUAUCCGUUGAUAGAAAAAAAACGAAUGAUUAUUAAGAAAAAAAGUAAACUUGCACUCCUAUAACCUAUUACUUUUUUUUGCAUGAGAGUGUGUUUCAGCAUUAUAUUAGUGAUUAAUUUUCUCAAGAAAUAAAUUUCUGGAUGGGGCAUUUGUUAAAAUUUCGUGCAGGUGACAACUCCUUUUCUUUUCAAGCUAAUACCUGCUGUAGUACAUUUAGGCGUGCUAUUGCGGUGGUUUUCUCCAGAUAGUCUCGUUGAGGUAGAAACAUUUUACUUGAAUCUAACUUUAUACACCGCAAUUUUCCUUGACUCUAAUCCGCUUGAUCAAAAUUUAUCUUCAUGUGAUAAUUCAGAUUGGAUUGAAAGGAGACAUCAUUCGCUCGGACAGUGUAAAGCAACGGGUUAUGUUGAUAGUCCAGGGACCUCACGAUUCAUGACACUGAUUGUAUGUCAAUUGAAAAUGAAAUAUCAUUUUCUUCUCAAGGAGUCAAAUUCUGGCCAGCUUAUUCCCAUGUACAAGUGAAGUCGAUUGAACCACUCUGUAUAUUUGUUCAUGUUUUUCUAGCCAUAUAAAAGCGUGUCCAGAAUCAUUUUUUUGUUUCACUUAACUGACCACUAGAUUUGGAAAAAAGAAAAAAAAAACAGAUUAGAGAGUACUAGAGAUGGAUGACCAGAUAAGAGCCAGUACAAUAGAAGAACACUAUUGUAUUUGUCUUCUUCAGUAUGACCUGAUUCUUUGUAAAAUGUAUUAUAGUUUGGAUAUUUAUAAUGAAAUUGGUACUGCACAAAAUAAUCACUAUGCCUUUUUUUGCAGUGUAAAAUAUUGAUUUUUACCAAGUUCCCAUUUAAUCUCUCAUCUGAUUUCAGCCUUCCGUUGCUACUUCAAGACUCUUCAUCAGAUAGCUAUCAGCAAAAGGAAAAAAUAAAGUUCCAAGGCUGUAAGUUCAUCGAUUCCCUAAAAAGAAAAAAACAAUUUACUGACAGCAGUAUUAUUGAUUGAAAGAACUGCUUAGAACCUUUGGAGGAUUUAGUAACUUCAACUUGAAUAUAUUUGUCUUUUGACCACCUAACCAAAAUGAGAGGAUAGAACUAGAAGUUCCUGUGACUUUGUCAAUUAGGCAUCAGAAAUAAGUAAAAAGUAAAAUGAGAAUCUUUCAUUCAUCUAUGGUUGCUGGGGAAUAAUAUAUUUCAACAAGAGGAGAGAGAAUUUAUGAUUUCAUUUUGGGGAUUUCAACCAUUUUAACUCUUGUUUGAUCUUUUUGGGUGUCCAGAUGUUGAUAGAUAGUUACAGGGAGUAAAUGAGAGAAUCCUUUAUGGUUGAAAUGUCACUAUUUCUUAAGAUUUGCCUGCAGGAACUGACAUGUGCUUAUUUAAUUUAACAGGUUAAAAAAAAAAAAAAAACUAUUUGAGUGUUUCUUCCAUACCUAGUCUCUCCUUCAAAGUUAAUUUUUAUUCUCUUUUUUGCAAGAAAAUAUAUUAUGUCAAUUGAAAGUCUUAAACAAAAUUUUGAAUGAUUCCCAAUUAUAAUAUGUGCUUACAACCACAAGAACAUAAAAUAAAAGUAUAAAAAAAAUAAACCUGAAAAGAUUCUUUCCACAUGAAGAAGAAGAAGAAGUAGAGAAAUAGUGAUAGAUCUAACCUAAAAACAAAAAUAGCGAUGGUAGCGAUGGUCCACUUCUUGCCUGUUUUUGUUUGGGCUUCCUCCUGCAUUUUGUCCUCUACUUUUCAAAUGGGGAAGACGCCAAUUAUUUAACCUGUUUUUGUUGUCAAUUUCCUUCUUUUUAUUUCUCUUUUUCCAAAUCUACAUGUAUGUAUAUUUUGUCUGCUUUGGAAUUUUUUAUCUACUGAUAAUUUAAUUUUAAUUUUUACCUUAUGCUUUCAUUUUAUUUUACAUUUUAAAAGGGGUUCUUUUAAUUUCAGGCCAUUUACCCUUUCUUGCUGACAGCAACAAUUUAGUUACCAUCGGUUUGUUUGCACAAAUGUUCAUUCCUUUCUAAAUAUCAUUCCACUAGAGUUUCACGUGAAUGGUAGUAAUAAAUAACAAAUAAUAAGAACUUAAUGUGAUAAAAAUAGUUUUGGUAAAGGUUGAAACAAACACAUUAUUUUACGAUUUAUUUUUUAGUUUCUACAACCACAUUGUAGUGACACUCGAUUUUAGGGUCAAUUUAUUAAAGAAAGUAAAAUUAUUUUUUCUCUACGUUGUGGGGUCUAGUUUUUAUUCGUUUUUUAGGUUUUGAAAUUUACAUUUUUAUUUCUUAAAUUUUAAAUUUAGUUUUGUUCUAUAUCUUAAAAUGCUAUUUUACCUUAUAAUUAUAUGAUUGUUCUGUAUUAGUAUUAAAGGGAGAACGAGUGUUAUGCGAAAGACGUACUGAAAUUUAUGGAUAGAAUUCACACAAUAGUGUGAGAUUAUUGCAUUAAUUUGAAUUAUUUUGAGGAUGGAUAUUUUUAUCCUAAAAGAAAAGAAAGGAAAAGAGGCCAAUCAUGAGGGAGGCUUUUACUCUUGGCUUUAUGCACUUUGAAUUUUGCAUAAUUUUCUGUCCACAUUAAUUUUUCCCAUAACAAAGAGAAAUCUUGUCCACUCGAUUCUCUUCUUAUAAAGUAUCCAAUUAGUGUUCUUCCAAAUUUUGUUAAUACCAACAAAUUUGAGCCCUAAAAGCUAUAUCAUUUUAAAUUCCCAAGUUGAGAUUUAUUUAUUUAGAAAUUCUCUCUAUUUAGAGGCCACCUACAGCUUUCAUUUGUAAGGAUCAAGAUUGCUGAGCUGAAAAAUAAGUGCUUUAUCAUAUUAUAGGAUUCUUUUUUUAAAUUAAAAAAAAUACUAACAAAAUCCAAUUAGAAUUCUUUUAACUAUAAUUCAACUUGAUAUGUUCAGAUCUUUUACAUUAACCCAUCUUCAUAAUUUACCCACCAACGUUUAAAUAAUAUAGUUGUAAAUAUAUUUUUAUUUAGCUUUGGCUCACUUUGUUGACGUAUUUUAAAAAUAUUCAUUUUAUUUUUUGUAUUUUAAAAAUUAUUCUCGGUUCUUAGGUAUGGAAAAGAAAAUGAAAAUAAAUGAAACAAUAUAAAGUAUAUGAACAAAAAUGGAUCUACAUAUAUUGUUUUUUAUGAGUUGAAGAAAUGUUAAAAGUAUUUUUCUCUAACUUAUUUGAUUUGAAAGAUUUUGUUUAUAAUAUGAAUAUUUGGGUCAAAAUUAGAACCUUUUAAGAGACUAUGAACAAAAUUGGAAAAUAAUAUAAAUUCUUUUAGAAUCAAAAUGCAGUGGUACUCUUUCAAUUGUUCAGCUAGAGACUAUGACUAUAAAUGUUAUAAUUAGCCAUUAAAAGAGAGUAACCCAGCUAGCCUACAAAGCAAGACAAAACUUAUAUGUUUGUUUUUAUAGGGUAGCCCACACCUUUGACCAAAUAACUCAUUUUUAAUUAAUUGAGUUCACCAUUAAUGCAUCAGUUUUUAUGACAAAUUAAUGGGUUUCAUGGAAUAAUAAUAAUAAUCUUUCCAUUUCAAACAAAUUUGUUUAGAAAUUAUUUUAUUUUUGAUAAUCAAUAAACCCCAACUUGUUUGUGGACACAAAGGAGUUUUGAUGAUACAAUAGUAACCAACAUAAACAUUAUAUUAAAAAAGAACAUCGUUAUUCCACUUCAAAAGUACAAACUAUACUAAUAUUUAUAACAAUAAUAAUCCAUGGUGAUUCACUGAGCUACUUGUUCAAGUACUGGCUUUGGAGUGGACAAACUUAGCUGCAAAUCAGGUUGAUGAUGAUGACGAUGAUGAUGAUGAUUGGUUGUUGUUUGAAAAUUGUUGAUCGUAAUUGAGCUUGAAGAUUUGUUGAUGGGGGAUUGAAGAAACUUGAAAUAUGGCUCAUGAUGACGUUGAUUAUAAUGAUACUCAAUCCAAUUGAGAUUUGUUAAUUCUGAAAUAUUUGGAAUUGGAGUUGGAUUCCCAAAGGAAAUAUUAUUGGAUGAAGCUGGUUGGAUAUUAUAAUUAUUAUUGGUUGGUUUCAAAUUGUUGUUGAUGCUGCUGCUGCUGCUGCUGCCUUUUUCAACCACUUGCACUGUCAAUUUGUCCCUUGCUGCAGCACCCUGUUGUCAUUCAUAAUAAACCAUAAACACACAUUUUUCUUUUGUAGUAUAUAGAGUAGUGAAAGUCAUUUACAAUCCCAAUAUUCAAAACCUAAUCAUCAUUGAAUUUGACACCAACCCUACAAAAAAGAAUCAUUCUAAAACACACAACAAUGAAAGGAUUAAAUUGAAAAAAACAACUCAAUUAGCUUUUCUGUUUAUUAUUUGGUUAUUGGAGAACCUUAGAAUUUCAUUUCUGUAGUUUAUAAUUAUAAUUCAGUUUUUAGGAUUUUAUCAAACCAUAUUUACUUAAAUUCUAAUUAAUAUUGAAUUGUAUUUUACUUUAGUGAGUUUUAGUUUAGUAUUAUAUAUUAUAUAGAUACGAACUGGUAUUUAUAUUAAACAAUUAGUUGUUAAACUUCACCUUCCUUCUCGUAUAUAUUUAUUAUCAUUGAGUAUUAUAUGUGUUUAAUUAAUGACUAGUCAAUAAAAAAGGAAAGUCUUAUACGUAUGCAAAUGGGUUAUUUAAAAGUAAUAGAAUAGUGUGUAUUAUUAUUUAUAUUGGAAGAGGAAUAUAAAACAUUAGUGACGAACUAAUUAAAUUUAAGUAUAUAUUGACAAUAUUGGCUUUUGUCUUUUAUUUAUAUGAAUAUUCACUUACUUAGAAAAUUGGGUUAUCAUUCAAAAUUCAAUCUUUGGCAAUUGGCACAGAGAAAAAACAGAAAUAAAAUAUGUGAAAAAUUAGAGAGUUUUGAGAGGGGGAAGUUUACGUCGAAAAGGCUGGGACGACGCUGUUUUCUUUUGUUGAGAGUUGUGAGUCGUAGAAAGUAUUUUUGUGCAUGACUAGCUACUUGAGUCGGAGUUCUUGUCGUCACAAAUUUCCUCGAAAUUCCUCUCCAAUCUCCUUUUCCAAGCUUUUCUAACCCAAUUAGAAACACCUUAUGCUCCUCUUCACUCCAUGGUACACCUAUUCAAAUACCAAAAACAUCCCGAGCUAGUAAGUUGGUGAAACGAUAAAACUAAUUAUAUAAUCAGCUAGAACGGAGAAAAGAUGAAAUGAUAUUCCUAGCUAGAAUUCAAGCAUGCAAUUUAAUGCUUUAAUACCAUAAUUAACCUAAAAAAAUAAGAAAUAAGAAUAGCCAUAUGACCAAAACGAAAAGGAAAAAGAAUAAUUAAAAGAAGAAAAACCAUGUUUUUGUUUUGAAUCUUUUGAAUUCAUGAUGAAUGAUUCAGUACAGUGCAAGAAAAAUUACCUUUUUUUCUUUCAUGGGUUUUGGCGACGAGGCCGUCUGAGAGAUAUCCAUUUGACAAUUUCUCAGAAGAAGAAGAGGACGAUAAAGAUGAAGAAGCCGAAGAAGAAGAAGAAGGCAAAGAAUCCAAACUAAUACUCUUCUUCAACAAGGUGGUAUGAUGAUGAUGAUGAUGAGUUGUUGUUCCAUUAUCAAUGAGUUGAACUCCAAAUAACUUAAACUUGGUUUCUUUAUGCUUUUGAAUGGUGCAAGUUCUUGAAUUGUGACCCACAUUCCCACAGUGUGAGCAUUUCCUCACCAUCUCUCUCUCUAUCUCUCUCUCUCUCUCUCAAAUGGAAUCUCAAACUAACACCAAAUUCUUUCAAAAGUAUAAUAUAAAGGGUUUAAAAAGGAAGGGGUAGCUGUGUUGUUGUUUUGAUUAAAUUAAAUUAAAUCAAAUCAAAUCAAUAGGGUUUGUGUUAAUUAUUAAUUAGUGAAGAAAGAGAUAUGAUCCUCUCCUCCUCCUAGGUUCUUUCUUUAAUGAUUAUUGACGUAAAUAGCAAGUCAAGAGGUGUGUGUGUUUGUGUCUCAUUGGAUCAUAUUCUUUUUCUUAUAUGAUAAUAAUAAUGAUAUGAUAAAACUUAUCCUAAAAAUGGCAUCUUUUUUAAAACUCCCACAUGACCAACGUGACCUUAUAUUUGUCCCAUUCUUUCUCAUAUCUCUCUAUUUUAUUUUAUUCUUUCUAUCCAUUUUCACCUUUUCUUUCUUUCUUUCUUUCUUUUUACUCUCAUUUCUACUUAUUCUAAGUAAGUUAGAUUACAUAUUUGCACACGAAUAGUUUGAAAAUUUUAAGGGUUUUUCUUUAAUCCUAAUAAUACUUCAUUUGAAUUUUUAAAGAAUUUUUUAUACCUAACAAUAGUUUUUGAAAUAUUUAUAAAAAAUUAACAGUAAUAAUACUAAAACUUUUAGAAAUUUAUCAAAAAAUAUAUAUAGUAAAUUUGACAUUCUAUCCAUGUAAAUAUAAGUAAAUAUUUUAAUUUAUUUUACUACUUUAAAAAAUGCUCGAAAAAUUGUAGUAGAAAAUAUUUACAAAAUUUAAAAUUUUAUCAAUUAUGGAUGUAUAUUAUUUGAAGGUGUCUUUUUUUAUUUUUUAAGUAUGAAACAUAAUUUUUUAAAAAAGCUUAAGAAGAUAUGUUUAAUUUUUUUUCUUUAAAUUACUAUUAUUUGUUAUUGAAAUUGGGGUGACCACAAAAUUCCCACCAUACAUUAUUGUGAUGGGAAAAAGGGAGUGAUGUUGAUACCAACCAACAAAACCCUAUUUUUAGUUGGAGAUUUGCCCAAAAAAAAAAAAAGAAGAAAUUUGAAAUAAUUUCUUGAAGAUUGCUCCAUAUAAAAAAAGAUGGGAUAAAAAAGAGAAUGAUUACAAGCAAGUUGGCAGAACAACUACUGAAAUAUCAACAUUCAACACAUUGUGACCAUACAUUUUUGUGGAAGCUAUUUCCAUUGAUUAUAAACUUCCAAAUCAAACAUUUCCAUACAUUCCCUACACACACACACAAAAAUACCAACUGUUUCUUUUAGAUUUUCAACUUUGUUAACUAUCACGUUAAUGUGAUAUAUAUGUAUUCAAUUUUCUUAACAUAUUAGUUAACUUGUCAAGUUGGCAAAAACCUUAAUUUCAAUAGUAUUUUUGGAAAGCAUUUUAACCUAUAGUUUUUAAGACGAAGGACAAAAAUGAAUUCCAUAUGAGUCUAAAGUUCAUUAAUUCUUUUGUAUAUGAUAAGAAAGGUAAGGCAUUGGCCAUCAAAUCUCACCAUUUAGAAAUCCCAUGUUGUCUCCAACAUGGUGGACCAAAUUUCCAUACCCACAAUAUCAUUAUCCCCUCUCUCUCUAUAUAUAUAUAUAAACUAUAUUAUUACUAUUUCUAUAUACUUUGCAUAAAUAAUAAUAAUAAUGCUUUGUGUUUGUCUAACAUGAGACAACUAAUUAACAACUUAUUAUAAUCUCAUUCUCUUUAAACAUAAAACCCUAAUUCACAUUAACCCAACUUGUCCCUGUACUAUUGUUCUAAUAAUAGCAUUUUUCACAUUGCUAUAUAUUUAAUCAUCCAAAAAGUAUUAUUUAAUUGAUUAUAAUUAAUUAGGUGACAAUUUUGUUAGAAUAUAUAUAAGUGAAUUAGCGAAUUAAAUUUAUGAAGAGAUUAUAUAUAUAUUUUUUUUAACCUUUUCAAAUGGUAAAAAGAAUUACUAACACAAUUUAUUAUUUACUUGAGUAUUAAGCAUCAUAUUUUAGGGAGGUGAAAAUGUUUUCUCUACCCAACAUUUACUAAUUAACUCUUUUGUUUUUACUGACCCUUUUCAAACUUUACACCAAAAAUAUCGUAAAGUAGUUUUAAUUUAAGCAUAUAUAUAUAUAGGGUGUGAAAAUGAUAAUGAUGCAUCUUUUUCUUUUAUAAAGUAGUUUGACUUAAUCACCUCUCCCCAUUUCAAUAUUCUUUUCGAUAAUUAAUCAAUGGACUUUCCCUUACCUGCACUCAUCUCGUUUUAAUAUUAAAAACUAAAAUAUCACAUAUACAAACUGCACCAAUCGAUGAUAAGUACUAAUAUCUGUCCAAGAAAUAUGUUUUUUUCUAAGUAAUUAAGAAACCAUCAUGUAUAACCACACUAAUUAAUUAAUUUACUUAAUCUCCUGUUUCUUUGGCCUAAUUAUUAAAAUCCUAGUUGCAAUCUGAAAAGGUGUAGUAUAAAUUAAUUAUACACAUCACACUUUGAAUGUAACCUUUUCUUGUUCCCUUCAUUUCUCUUUAAUAUUUAAGGCCAAGUUGAGUGGAUAUCUUAUUAAUUUAUCAAAAUUAAACUCUAAUAUAUAUUGGUGAAUUUGACUGCUACUUUGGUUUCUACUUUGAUAUAAAAUUAGCAUAUGACAUAAAAAUAAUUAACUAAGUUGUUUUUUAUUCACUGUCGUCUAGUGAGUGAAGGAAGAUAGUUAAAGUAACACAUAAUGUAAGUUAUUAUAUGUUACAAAAUUAAAGCAUUAUCAUUUAAAAUAAUGGGAAUUAAAUUAUAAAUUUAAUAAAUCUUUCCAAACCAUAUAUUAUACUUUUAAUUGAAUUUUACAUUUAAUUGGAUUUUAAACUUUCAAUUUGACUAACCCAUUUAAAUUUUUAGGACUAAAUUUGUAAAUCUAAUAUGAAAUUAAUAUGAUUCAAGCCUAUUAAUUUAAAACAUUGUUGAGUUUCUAUGUAUGAAAUUAUGGUGAAUCUUCUCGAAGAUAGUGACUAAAUAAAAUUAAUUAUCACAUUUGCUAUAGUGACGACUAAAUAAAUAAAGUAACAAUAUCUUAAUUAAGGAAUAACGACAAAAUUAAACUUAUUACAAAUAAUUAAUAUUUAAAACGAAGCAAUAUAGAGAGAGAAGAAUCAAUUAUGGAAAUAAUAAUUAAUGGAAGUUUAAGAUAAUGUUUUAAAUUAACAAAAAAGUAUAUGGACCAAUUUGGUUCUCCAAAGUUCAAAACCCUCUAUUAAUUAAAUUAUAGACAAUUAAUUAAGAAAAUUCAACUUGAAUCUAUAUAAAAGCUUAAUUAAUUUAGAGAUAAUGACCAAAAGCUUAGGGGUUGUGUGGAGAUCAUUUGCUUUAAAAAACCCUACUUAAUUUUUUUUAAUACAAAAUAAUUAUGAGUGAUGGGACCAACUCAACAUCCAAACCAAAAUUUCUAAGGUAAUUAAUUUACAUUGUGGAUAUUAAUUAAUCAUGCCAUUUUUUAUUUCCAAAAUUAGACUUUAUUAUAAGAAAAGUUAAGUCUAACUUAAUUAAUUGAUUACAAAUUAUGAAAUUGACUAUUACACGAUAGGUUGAAGUGAUCAUAACAUAAUACUAAUGCAUAUCAAAUUAAUCUAAUUAGUGCAUCUAUGAUUCUUAAUUAUAAGAAAACAAUAGUGUUUAUAAUUAAUAAUGGAAAUAAAAUUAGACUAAUUCAUUGAAUAUGGUCUAAAUAAUCAGGUAAUUAAUUAAGGCAAUGAAUAUAAUCAAGGGAUGUUCUCUCUAUCUCCAAUAAUCAUGCAUGAUAUAGGAAAUUAAAGUUGAUUAAUUAAGAUGGUUGAAUAUUCCCUAAUGUUGACAUUCUUCUUUCUUUUUUAUUAAUUUUGCUGUAUUGAUUAAUAGUUAUUUUUUAGUCCUGACAUUAAGCUUAAUUAAUUUUACGUAUAGUUUAAGGAUGAUUAAAUUACAUGUGUGAUGUCACUUGAAAAUGUGUUGAUUAUUUAAAUUAUAAGCAACCAUAUUAUUGCAUAUGAAAUGAAAUUAAACACUAAUUAAUUUGCUCUUGCUCUCAUGAUUAAUAUAAUUAAAUUAGCCUCUUUAGGUUACGUGAUGCAUCUGCCCUCUAACUUAUCUUCAAUUGGUUUAUUAGAGUGAUAUAUAUGUAAGAAAAGGAAAUUAAAUUAAAUUAAGAAGAUAAUUUUUCUUAAUUACAAGCUAUCAAAUUGUUAGCUUAAUUAAUUAUGAAGAUUAAUAAGGCAUACUUUAUUUAAAAGAAAACUAUGAUAUACUAUAAAUAAAAGUGUAUAUGUCAUCAUGUAAAAUGAUAUUCUGAAGUUUGAAGAACACACAGACUAUUAAAUUAGUAUUAUAUUGUGAAGACAUGUAGAGAAUUUGGUUACAAAGUUUUGUAUUAGUCAUACAAAUUUUAAUUAAUAUAGGUCUAAUUCAAUCCUUAUUAUUAAUUAAGAUUUAAGUCAAUAAUCCAACAAAAAAGAUUACAUGAUAUUUUCUUUCUCUUGUUAAUUAAUAUUAUUCACACCUAAGCAAUAAUAACAUAUAUUCACAUUAUUUAUAUUUGAAAAAUAUUAAUUAAUUAUACCAAUUUAAAUCUUAUGUUAUAGAGUGAAUCAAUUUAACCUAUUUAAUUUCUAAUUGAAAGGUCUAAAUUGGAUUAAUAUUUUUAAAUUUCAGUGUUCAAAUCAAUAUUCUUACUAACUGUGAGGGGUAAAUAAAUAAUGUACUUAUUCAAAAUUAAGAGAUAUUUAAUUAUGUUCGUUUUACAAUUUAUCAAACGUUGAUCAGAACAAACUUCAUAUAUAAUCUAAAUUAGAGUGAUAUAUUUCAACCGACACGAAUCUCUCACCUAACUCCAAUAAUAAAAAAUAUAACUUGUGAAGUCAUUAAAUUACAUAAUUAAGAAAAACCAAUAGUUAAGAGGAGAAUAUUCAAGAAUCUAAAGACAACUAUACUAUACCAUAAGACUAAGCAAUUUUGGAAUCAUGUCUACAUCUUUUAUCUAACCAAAUAAAACAAACAAAUAAAGUAAAAGCCAUUGACAAACAAAAUUCCUCUAAUAAGCAAACUUUGGUUAUGAUUGAAAAUUAAACUAAGCCAAACUUUGCACCCUAAGUCAAAAAGGGACCCUCCUAAUUAUCUUAAUCACGACUAUUUAUUUACAUCAAUGAGUUUAAUUAUGAUUUAAUGUGUUUUUUAUUAAAAUUUUAUCUCAAUUAAUUUAAAAUUAUUUUUAAAUAUAGUAAAAUAAAUUAAAAUAUUUAUAAAAAUAUCAUAUUUGAUAGGACAUAAUAUAACUAUUUAUUAUUUCUAUUGUCGUAUAAAUUCAAAUGGAAAUAAACUAUGAUUUUAAUUAUUUUUUCCAUCAAUACCUGUUUUUUUUAAGAUGAACAAUAGAACAUUAAUCAUUUAAAUAAUUCUUAUGAAAGAUUAAAAUAUUGGUUUGAAAAAUAAGUCAAUAAUUAUUUUAGCAUUAUUCCCAAUAAGAAAUGCUAUUAAUCUAAUAACCAUUUGAAAUUCUAAGGUUGUGGUUGUGAAGUUUCCUUCUGUACUAAUAUAUAUGAAAUGAAUGCAUAUGUAUAUAUUUAACUUUUAUAUUUUGAAGGAAUCAUAGGUUAUAUGUAUAUAUUUAUAUUUGAAUAAACAUGUCAUUAAAAUACACAAAUUAACAUUUAGAGGUCCAAUUAUGAUUUAAUUUGAUCAUUCCUUUUGUAAUUUUUUAACUUAAUAGAAAAAUGGACAAAUGCCAAACUGAGUAUAUAGAUUACUAUUUAAGCACAUGGUCUCUUUAUUGUCUAUUUGUAUUUUGUCCAAUUAAUUGUUAGUUCUUACACAUCUCCUAGCAAUAAUUUUGAUGUCACAUAUAUCAUAUUAAAGUAUAUUAUAAUAAAGUGUAUCAAAUUAAAUUUAGUUUAUAGUUUUUUUUUUUCUUUGUUAUAGUUCAAAUUUGAUCCCUAUAAUUUUCAAAGUUUCAAUUUAGCCCUUGUUAAUGAUUGAAACUCUCUCCUUUACUUGAUGUCAUCUUCUAAUAUACAUAUAACCAACAUAUUAACAUAUCUUAGAUGUAUUUAAGAUGCAGUAAUGUCUUGUAAUAUAACAAUAGAGAUAAUUAGUAAAAUGCAACCCAACUGUGGUGAUGAAAAUGACCAUUAGAAAACCAGUACACUAAAUUGAAACUAUAACUAAAUUAAUUAGAUGUAUGGAGUGAUAAACAUUCAUAAUUUCAUACCUCCCCACAAUCAUAUCAAUGUAGUUAUUAUAACGUAUAUCAAAGUUGUUAAGUUCGUCGAAACUGCUACUCUCUUUAAUAGCAGCAGGUCAAGACUUCUUUCUGAUAUUUGAGAUUUUGAUCAUCACAACACAUUCUAUUAGAUUAUAUUUCUCUUUUUUGUCCACAAAAUUGUAAUUUAAUUGCUCACAUUUUGGAAUGUAAUGCACCAUAAACUGACGUCCUUUUCGUAUAGCUUAAAGAUCAUUCUCCACAUGUUAAUGUUGCUCUGUCAAAAUGAUAUUCAUCUCUUUGCUUUUCUUAUAUAUUGAACGAAAAUGGACAUUCAAACUCUCACGUUUUGGGCCGGGAUGUUAGGCCCCGGGCCGGUUUCGGGAGUUAUAAAUGGGCCGCCUUUAACUAGUUGGGCUUGGGCCGUAACAUGAAAAAGCAGUAUUGGGCAAAUCCUGUAAUUCAUACAGAAAGCAGGGGUGAAUUUGCAAACUUGGUCAAAAUUUAUUGAUAUCAAUAAUUAAUAUUUACAUAUCAUAGCUUAAAUGAUUUUACUUUAUGGCAUGUAAAGUCUAUCCACUACCAAAAAGAAAUUGCCUUUUUUAACUAUAUUUUCUAUUGUUCUUUAUGUUUAAAUUUUAUAUUUUACUUUUUUUGUCAACUUGAUCUUUUAAAAUAUUACAUUAUGUCAAAUGUAUUAGAAAUUUGUUGAUAAUUUAAAAACAAAUUGAAAGACCAAUGACCAAUUUUUAGGACACAAACAAACUAAAUAUAGUUAUUAAUAGCACCAAAUAAAGGUAUUGAGAUUUUAUGAUAUGAAGUUUAUUAAUAAAAAUUUACUCUCUAAUACAAUUUAUUUAUUUUGUGUCUAAUAGAUUCUAGAAAUUUAAAAAACACUCUCUUAAACUAAAAAUCAUAGCAAAACGAAAAAAGAAAUUGAGAAUAAUGUUUUUAUUUGUUGAGUUCUUUCAAAGAAAAGAAAAAAGAAAUUGAGAAUAAGAUUUAAUAUUUAGAAUAUUAUAAAAGUUGGGACAAAACGAAGACAAGAGUCAUUUAAAACAUACCAUAGUACUAUGCACUAAAAAAUGCUAAUUAUUAGUGACAAAGAAGACCUUUCACAUCUAUGCUUUCACUUUAUUGCUAAAGGGACCUUAUAAAAGCUUCUUUAAAAAAAAAUAUUAAAGGGUAUAUUUUUACAUUCGUACAACUUAUCCUUUGAAGAUAUAAUAAGACUAAAAAUAAUUUUAUUUAGUAGGUUAAAAUUUGUUAUCGAAAGUUUAAGAGUAUAGUUGUAACUUUUACUAUACUUUGAAAAUAGUUUUAAUUUUUGUAGUUAUUGAGUUUUUACAAUAUCAUUCAUGAUGUCAUAGCAAUAUUUAAAAUAUAGAAUUCAAAGUGUGACAUACUAUUUUUUAAAUUCUAACUUGCUAGUGAACUUAGAAUAGAACGGAUAAAACAAAUUAAUGUACUAAUGGUUAGUUUUCAAACGUGUUUGGUUUGGUCGGUAACGUGUAUGUUAGGAAGAUUUGAAACAUAUACUAUUUAGUAGAUACUAGUAUCACAUGUCAAUUGAGUUAUAAGCUGAAGGUAGAUACUAGGAUGUUAUUUUUUACCCUAAGAAAUUUAUUAUAUAGUUCAAAAGCAGGAUCAUAUUUUGACUGAGGAAUAAUUUUGGAGAUAAUGAAAAGCCCAAGAAGAAACCCCAUGUUGGUUGGUUUGAACUUUUGAUUGGUCUCUGUGUCUUUUCAAAACUGAGCACACUGCUCUGAGUCAUGGAGAGGUCCGGACAUUGGCGACCCACCAUGGAACCUCUCUCUGAAUCCCAAUGUGAACCUCUCUUUUAUCUUUCUCACCUUCUCCAUUUUCUUUCAAUUUUCUCCCUUUAAUAAUGGGGGUCGAAAGAGAUUGUGAAAAAAGGCACACAACCCCAAAACCCCUUGAAACCCCUCUUUUUGUUUGUCAAAAUUGUUUGCUUCUUCAAAUUGAAAUUCCAGUUUCUGGGUUCUGAAAUACACAAAAAGCAAAACCCAAGUUGAGAAGAAAAAGGUAGUAAUCAGUAUUCUCUUUUAGUAGUAGUACAGUAUGUGAAACCAAAAAAUGGGUCAGGAAAAAGAGCUAAGCUAAGAGACAUUGAAUUUGAAAUAUUUUGUCUUGCAGUGUGGAUUGCCAGCAUUUCUCUGUUUGGGUUUGCAGGCAAACCAAGCAAGGAACAGACCCCACAACCUCAGUUUUUCACACUCAACCAUGUGGUAAUGGUAAGAAAAAACAUAUAUUUACUAUCAAUUUUAGUUUCCUGAGUUUUUUUCUUUUCUUAUUUUUGUCAUUGUGCUGUCAAAGAAUUUGUUCUUGGAAAAUCAAUCUCGAGGUUUGAGUUUCUUUAUUAUCCAACGUGGAAGCUGAAUGAUAAUUACACUUGAUUUUAAUAAAUGUACUGUCUUUUCUGUGAAAAAUAUUUUUUCUCUUUAAACUUUCAAGAACCGUACACUCUUUGAAGCAUAUUUUGUCUAUUAAACUCUUCAUUAAGAAAGAACCUUCUCUUUCCGUUCUUACUUGAGUAAUUAUUAAAGCCCACUUUAUGAGAGAAAGAGGUCUUGGUUGGAACUUCUUGAACCUGAAACGUUAGUUGACCUUGACAGGACAGAAAUUGGAUUAGUACUUUCAGAGAGACAAUUGAGAUGGUUAGAAAUUAAACCCCUUUAAUGGUUUCACUUACCAAGCCUGCAGUGCAGAGAAAAAGGCAAAAGCCAGAAGCAUUCUCUCUAGUAACAGCUACAUGGAAGUGUUGCACCAACAUUGAGGUUGUAGGUCCACAUUAUUUCCUCUAGUUAUUUCUGGUCAUUAUCCAGAUCCCAUUAUCGCUACUUGGUCAGAGCUCUAAAGAAAAAUCAGAGAAAAGAUUUAGAAAAUGGAGGGAAAAGUUUGGGUUGUAUCACAUCAGAUCCAACGGCAGAGCUCUAGAUUUAAGAUAGAAUGGUAAUGGAAAAUGGAAUCCUGAUCCGAGAAAUGAAGGCUAUCUAUUUGCAUUGUUUCAUCAUUCUGGUGUUACUCAAUGAAUAACCAUAAUGGUCCGAAUACGAAUAUUAAGGAAGGUUAGUCUAAUAAUUGAAGAAAUGCAUACACCCAAAACUAGCUGAUGGGUGCUGUUUUCAUUGCGAGACAUUAAAUUUGUCAAAGAUAUCCCACAAGAUCUUCUCGUCAGUUUUGGUUUGCUUGCAUCAUCAUUUUCAGGCUCUUUUCUCUCGCCUUUCUCUGAGACUAUAUCUGUUCAAAAGUACACUGCUGAAACAGUAGUCUCUCUUUUUUCACAUUUGAUUGCCUUAAGUUCUUAGUUGUUUGAUUCUGAAGAGAAAGUGUGAUACUUUGUUACUGUAUUACUCUUGCUUCUCAUCACUUUGGCUUUCUUGUUCAGAAUAGCUUAAAAAGAAAGGGACUGUCUGAAAAAUGGUGCUGAGAAGACCUGGCAGGAACAGGAAUUUCAACAGAGAGAAUCCAGAUAUUUUGAUUAUGAUGAUUGCAGUGGAUCAGAUAAUAAGAGGUUGUGAGCAGGACAAAGGAGAUGGCACAGAGAGGAAGGGGAUGGGCCCUUUAAAGCCUGCAACAAAGAGUGAGUGGUUUCUGCAUCCCAAGAGCUAUGGUCUCUCCUCUUUCUUGCUCUCCACCCCCUGGUUUUCUCUUGUGCGGCUGAUACUUCCUUCUAUCUUUAUUUAGUGGGUCCAUUUCCUCCAUCUCCACCUUCAUGCAGAGUCCUCUUUUUUGCCUCUUCACUCUCUCUCUCUUCCUUUUAAUGGUUCUCUGAGAUGGGUGUCAUUCAUUUUCCAGAGCUGUACGUAUUUUAGCUUUAAAGUUUGAGAACAGAGAUUGAGAUUAUACAUCUCCCUGCCGUUCAAUCCUCCAAACUUAAGCUUCUCGGGGUUUGAGCGCUUGAAGCUAUUCCAUUCUCCUUUUUUCAUGCAAAAUUUUGUAUCACUUUUCUUUUACCAUCGGCUUUAUGUUGUUGUGAUUUGGCAGAAGCCGGAAAAGUGGGAAUACAGCACCAGUCAUUAUUACUUCUUUUCCCCUUGUUUUUUUCUAUAAAAGCAAAGCUUCUCUUCCACUUUAUCUGAACUUUCACAAUGGCACCCUUUUCUGGAGAAACAAAAGAAACCAAGUUCUUUGAAUCUUCUCCUUUUUCUUUUUUAAGUUGUCUUUGAUCACCUGUGAGUGAAGAACCAUAAAGCAGUGAACAUUAUAGCAAUUUUUUUUCGUUUUAUAACUUGCAGGUUUAAAGCUCUUCACUAAGCCAUCACAUCCAUUUAAUUUGCUUAGAAAUUCAGGACACGGUCAUUUUUUUUUCAGGGGAUUUGGUGUGGGGCUUUCGCUCUAAGUUUCUCAUCCUAUAUAGGAUGACAGAGAUUCAUCAAAUGGAAGGUUGGUUUCUUUGUCAUUUUAUGCUAAUGGCUCAAUGUUUAUGUUCUGGCUGGUGGUUUACAGAGUGAGUUUUGAUGUGGACCUUUAUUUCUUCUGUCUUGUAUGAUGUUAUGUUUGUUCCCUCCUUUGUAUCGUGUGUCAAAAUAAAUUGAACAUCUUCAACGAAUGGCUUGUCAAUAUUAAUUUUUUGCUGGUCCCUAAACGUAACAUGCUUUUCACUCUUGUGGCAAUAGGUUCUGGAUAUGUUACAACUACUAAUUUCCCUUUCCAACUCUGAAUAAUAAUAAUAUAGCAUAGCCUGUCUCUAGAGGAAUGUGAAUUUGGAUGUCUGGAUUGAGCUGCAAGUUCAUUUCUUUUUCCAUUCAACUGAGAAGUUCAUUUUUUGUUUGAUAAUGCUAUAUUGACUUAUAAAUGCUAUUGAAAUCGCAGCUAAAAAGUGAAUGUGGUUUGAAUCGAGUAUGUUAAUCUCAGCUGUUGCUUUGGAUAAAGAAUGGUAGUUUUCCGUCUAGACUGCGUAUGGGUGGGCGAAUGAUUUGAUGAAUGCUCUGGUGGAUAUGGUAAACCCAAAUUCUGUUGUUGUAUGUGAAAUUCUGCCUCUUGGCUUUUAGAACUCAGUUGAUACGUCCAAUUAAUGAACUAAGCAAUAUUACAGCUGGAUUUCCUAUCUUUUUAAGUCUGCGGGAGUCUGGAUGCUCUGCUCUUACUAGUGCUGAUAAUCAUAUAGUUGAACAAUUGACAUUUUGAGGUUUUCCAAUGUCUACUGCCCUGCAACGAAUCGAUAUGGGAGAUGCUUGUCUGGGUCCCUCUGGUAAUGCUGAGUUUCAAAAUCAAUUGGCAGUAGCCAUUCCUAUUUCUCUGUUUCAAUCUACCUCUCUUGCUCCAGUGAAUGAUAUUCGUGGAAAUACAAAAGAUUCAGCAUUUCCAGACCCACAGUUCCAGCAAUUAGAAACCUUUAGAACGUGCUUCUUACACAGUUACUCUAAUGCUUCAAAUUCUUCAUUUGCAAGUUCUCUGAUCUGUGAAGGUGAUGAGUCUCUAUGUAAUGCAAAUAAUAAGUGGGAAAGCGAUAGGUUUCAUUGUAUUCAGCAACUUUCUGGGGAGAAUCCGGAAACAUCUGAUUCCCAGACCGUCUUGUCCAUGGAACACCUGCACCAGAAUGGCUGGAUGUCAUCUAACACUAUGAACUCUAAGUUAUGGAAUGAGCUUUCUCUAAGCCUUGCUACAACCGAACCCGUCCUCAGUGGAGGAACUGAUUUCCUGGACCAGUAUUCUCAGUUGACUUUUUCUGGUGCUACUCAACCUUGCUUGAACAGCACAGAAUUAGCCUCGAACUUAAAUUCAGGCAGCUCUAGGGACCUCUCUCUAAGUUAUGGAUGUGGUAAUUCUGUUCGCCUUUCUCGAGCAAUAGCAGGAUCUAGAUAUCUUUCGGUCAUUCAAGAUGUACUUUCUCAAAUUGCAAGCUAUCCACUGGAAAACUCAGAUCAAGUUGAUCAUUCAACUACUGCAACUGGGUUUGUGCCGUUGUCAUCAUCAAGUUCCCUGGAUGAUGCAACGAUUGAAUAUGGUUCUGAUGUUACUGGUAGAUACAGUUCUCAAAUGGAGCCGGAAUGGCAAAAUCUAUCUGUUGAUGCCAAGAAGUCCCAUCUGUUGACUCUACUACAAUUGGUUGGUUAAUUUAAUAUAGCGUUUCUCUGAUUUUUAUCUUUUUACCCUUCUUAUACUGAAAAACUUGAUAGUGUUUCAGAUUGAUGAGAGGUACACUCAAUGCUUGGAUGAGAUUCAUACCGUUACUUCUGCGUUUCAUGCUGCUACUGAUUUGGACCCUCGCUUGCAUACUCGAUAUACACUCCAGACGAUCACUUCGGUGUAUAAAAACUUGAGGGAGAAGAUUACCAGUUGUAUUUUUGCUAUUGGGAAGCAUUCUAACGCAACGUGCACCAAGGAGAAGGAAAAAUUCUUUGAGGCAACAUUCUUACAGAAGCAGUGGGCUCUCCAGCAGUUGAAAAGGAAAGAUAAUCAAUUAUGGAGGCCACAGAGAGGCUUGCCUGAAAAAUCUGUCUCCGUUCUUAGGGCAUGGAUGUUUCAAAAUUUUCUCCAUCCGUAAGAUUUUGUGACAAAUCUGGUUUACUUUUUGAAGAUACGUAUAGUAAGUUGAAGGAAUGUUUGUUCUUUGGUGAUUUUUCAGGUACCCCAAGGACACAGAGAAGCAUUUACUUGCAGUAAAAAGUGGAUUAACUAGAAAUCAGGUUCUUGCUGCUUCAAGAUUUCCUUCAACUUUCAUGAGUUCUCCUCACUUUUACUGAGUUCUGCUAUUCUGGACUUUGGACAGGUGUCUAAUUGGUUCAUCAAUGCUCGUGUCCGAUUGUGGAAACCGAUGAUCGAGGAAAUGUAUGCUGAAAUGAGCAGAAGAAAAUCCAAUCAAAAUGAGGAGGGAAUCGAAAGAAUUCAUUGUCCCAGAUAAGCAUUAGCAGUGAGAAGAUGUGGCUCGAACUGUGAAAAUGAUAGACAGUAUUGAGCACUGUAUGGAACUUGAAUUGAUUAGAAAAGUGUACUAGACUGAAUUAAAUUCAACUAUAUAUUCUUUUUGACAAUUUAACCUGAGAAAUUUCUUUAGCUUCGCAUUCCUGGCUACAUCAUAAUAGACAAUAAAAUGCAAUUAGUCAGCAGAGAAACAUCACCACAAACUUCAUUCUGAAAAGAAGGAAAAAGAAAACACGAUCAAUAAGCGAAGUUCAAUCUAAAAACAUUAUUUAUUAAUUGAAAAUAAAUAAUUCUGAGAUUUACAGAGAAUGGUGCCCUCCUCCUCAACUAACUCUUUUGAUUACAAAUGAAAGAAUGACAAUUUCUGAUUUCUGCCUAGAAGUUUUCACUAUCAAAUAUUCUGUUUCCUUCUUUAUCUACACCCCACACCCACACCUCUCAUUCACGAACUGAUGGAUUGCCAAAGAAAAAACAAAAAAAACUGUCCCAACUCCUCACAGUACAUAUAAAUACAAAAAGUGAUUAAUAUUUUUUGUUGCGCCUCCUUUCAUCGUCUUGUUGUUCUAGACUUGCAAGGAGAUUCUUGUUUUUAUCGGUUUCAACUUCAAUCCCAUACUUUCUGGUGACAGAAGCUCGGGAGCUAUGCAAGAAGGGCUCAAGGGGCUUCUUGGGCUGACGCUAAAAUGAGAUGGCCUAUACAUGCCAUAUCCCAUGAGAAAAUACUCCAUAGGUAUCAACAUUGCAUCAGGCUGCUCCUCUGUCACCAUUGACCCACAUGACUGAACCUAAGAUGUGAGAAUAGCCCCUUUUAAUUCAUAGUAGUAUAAAGCUCGGUUUAUGAUUUUCAUGUAUAUUUAAUCUCCAAAAAGGAAAAAAGAAAGUUCAACAUACUUCCACUAGGGCACUGUAUCUUCUGUCUAGUUUGACAGUCAUGUGGUGAGCCUCUGAAUGGAACGGGGACCUGUCCCCAACAAAUAUCAAUGAACGGCACUUUAGUUUCCGUAACCCUUCUGAAAUGUCGGGUCUCCUGCAUGAAAGAAAAAAAAAGUUUAGGAGGGCCUUCGACCCCAUAUGUGUAUCAUCUAACUAAUGUAAUUUCACAUCAGAGGUAUAGAGGAAAAGGACCCCAACAAUUGUCAAGCACAAAUUCAAAGAUUGGAGUUAGAUGCUUACCCAUUCAUUGCUUCAAGAAACCUCCAGACGUUUGAACUUUGCCUCUCGUCAAGUGACUGUAGAAAGAACAUGAUCAUAAUGUUUGAUCAAACAAAUGCUCAACUCUUAAAAUCUGUCAAGUUUUCCAACUCUGGAAUAACUGACAGUUUAAAGUUGCUAAAAGAAAACGAUGAAAAUGCUGCAGUACUCACUCUUCUGCAUGCUUGAACUAAAUCUGACUCUGGUACUUGAGAACAACCACGAGCAUCCUACAACCAGCACAGUACAAAUGUCUAAUCAAACUCAGUUGGGAUGAAUAACUCUAGUAAGAGAGUUUGAGUUUGUGCAAGUAAACCUGCAGUUGGUCUGUGUUUAAGUUGAGAAGAAAAAAGAGUUUAAAAGUUCACACGUUCAAGUGCAAUUUUCAUAUCAUCAAAUUGGUUUUGAAGGAAUAAAAACCGAUUUCAUGGUGAUUUUGAAAACAAAGCAAUUUUCAUUUUUAGACCUACCUUACUGAAAUACCGCUUCAGCAACAACUCCUUCACUACCCCACACAUGCCAUAGAAAUAAAGCAAAUUUGACAUCACCUGCAUAUGGAAAAUCUGUUAAUAAGAUGAUUCCAAUAAACCAGAAGACGAUCAUAAUAGUUCUUUCGUUCAGAAAGACGACCUUAUUAUACAACCAUUCUGUCCAACAGGGCGCUGUGCAUAUGGGAGAAAUCAAUAUCAAACCAUGAACACGAUGUCUGUGCUUCAUCUGCAACCAACAAGUGCAAUCAAUAUAUGACAAAAGUUUACAAGAGGAACUGAAAGAAAAAACCAUGGGGGGGAAGGAUAAAGUAAUCAAGUGGAUGGUGAACAAAGAGAAAAAUUACAGCAAAGAGAGUGAGGAUGUAUGCUCCAGCAGUAACACCCAUACACAUCACAGCACUAAGUCUGGGAGAAAGAUAAAGAAGAAGAGUAAGUCAUCAGAUCCGUGCAUAUUCAUUUCGGAUAGAGCUCAAGUGUAAAACAAAUAAAACAGCAAAGCAUCAGACCAGUGGAAUUCAAAACUUUAAACAAGUCGAAGUUAUUAAAAAAAAAUUGAAGAUAGCCAAAAGGAAUAUCGAAUUACCCAAAAUAGUUAAGAACUUCAGCAAUUUGAUCUGCUAAGUCAUCUGCAGAAAGUACAGGAUCAUCAGGGCAAAUUGCAGCAGCUCCUAACUGCAACUCUUGAACAAGGUCCCAUUAUGAGAAGAAUUCAUGUGGAAGUAAAAAAGACAACGUACUUGUUGGAAAGUUCAGUUUCAUUGAAGCAACACCAAAAAAAAAUUACACAGUAGAUUAUUUUGUACAUAGCAUAGAUUAAAAGAAAUUCACUCGUACAAAGUAAUUUAUUUUAUGUAUGUGUGUGGAAAAAAAAAUAAUGACAUCAGUAGAGAUAUUAGAACAUCCCAAUUAUACAAACCUCGUGUCCGGGAGGGCUGAUAUGAUAUAUGCAAAAGUUGUGAAGCAAUAACGAACAAGCUUCUGGACAAAACAUUAAUCCUUGGAAGCAGAACAUAUCUGAUAAAUAAUAAAACAUAGCACGUUUAAACAUUGGUAACAGGAAAAAUUAAAGAAAGAUUCUAAAAAUCAAAGUCACAAGUCAUAGAAUCAUUUCAUUUUAACCCCAUAUCACAAUUUAUUAACCUUACUAUCCUCUUUAAAUAACUUAUUUUUGUCUAUUUUCAAAGAAUAAGCUUGUCUAAUAAAAAUAAUGGAUUUCAAAAGCUACUAUUAAAAGAUUUAACAAUUAUGUGGGUGAAAACAAACCAAAAAGGCAGAUGUUCCAGCAAAAGGACUGUAGAUAAUAGAGGUAAGAAUAACCAAUAUUCUGGAUUCCAAAAAAUUCAACACGUUAAAUUUAAAACAAAAACUCCAUCUAAUCAACCUUAAACUCCAAAGUGUGUCUAAUUUAUUCAAAGACUCCACUUCUACACUCAAAAUCAUGUUUUGAAUAACAAUUUACAUGACACAUUCUACAUACUCACGAUUUAGAGCUAAAUCGGGAUAAGUGAUUAAAGCUGGCUUGUCCAGGUCUCCAACCACGGUGACAGAAACAACACCAUAACAGGUUUUCACAAGAUACUCCUGCCAAAAAAAAAUCGAUUGAAGAAAUAUUAGUUUUCAAACGUAGUCAUCUGAACUAGAGAAUGGACGCACCAAAAAAAGGCGGCAAGUAAUACAGAACCAUAAAAUGAACUACUAUAAAAAGGGAAUUGCAAAAGCUUAAAUAUAAGGAAAUUCGCAGUUGAAGACGCAAACAAUAAAACAGAUUAAAGAAAGUUAGUCUACUAAAAUUCAAAAUGUAUUUCUAAACUAGUAAAAAUCCCAACAUCCAUCCACUUUUGGUAGACCGUUGAAUUCCGAACGAAAAUCAACACCAAUUACCCUUAGAAAAUCUAACUAAAAUCAACAAUGCACAUCCAAAAACCUUAAUUACCUCCGUGUAAAACGAUCACUAAUUACACGAAUUCAUCCAAUAAAAAACAUAACGAACCCCAUGUUUCAAUUCAAUCCAAACUUCCCAGCAUGUUCUCAAAAAGCAAACAAAGCACAGUGUUCAAACACAUGAAACCAGACGGAUUUACACAAGCAACAGGAAAUGCAGGUACCUUUCCUCCACAAGAGAUCGACUCCAUAUCCACCGAAACCGAGUCGCUCGAAUCCCCCAUUUCCUUCUUCCCUUAUUCUCUCACCUUUCUCUCUUCCCCUAAAUCCUCCUUCCCUUAUUCGCUACUCAAUACACAGAAUGCUCCUUCUUCCUUUUAUAUACCACCAAAUCUCUUCAACAAUUCCACCACUACAUUAUUUGGGGGAAAAAUUUCAACUCGUCCCUUCGAAUCGUCCGAGUCAAUACGAGUCACCGACGCCGCGUUCCCCUUCCAUCGCACAUUGACAGAAACCUCACGAGCGCCCUGUAACGAACAAACUAUAACCCGAUACCCUGGUUGGUUUAACCAUGGUUAGGAAGCCGACAGUUUAUUUGAAAUUACUUAAAUACCCACAAUUUCCCUUGACAGCGACCUCCUCUCUUACCACAUGAAAAAGGGCGAUUUUCGUCUAUUCACGUUGAUUUUUUAAUUAGUAAUAAAGAGGGAAAUAGUAAGUAGUUAAGCUUUGACUAAGGAAGAGAUAAAAUGAAAAUAAAAUUAAUAUAAGGGAAGUGUUAUUUUUAUUUGUGGGACCUGCGUUUAUUUAAAGUAACGUAAUCAUUUAUAUUAUAAAGUAUAUAAUCUGUCACAAAUUUUGGGGAGAGGUUUUUCCUUAUUUUUCUUUUUUCAAUUAUUCCAUUUAUAAUAUGGUAUUGUAUUUUUGUUAUUUAUUGCAUUGCCUAAAAGUGGGGAGUGGAUUUAAUGAAAAUAAUUUUAGAGGAUCUACUUGUUUUUAAAUUAGUUUCUGUUUUUGUUAAUUUUGUUUAAUUACUUUUUUUUGUGCAUAAAUACAGUUGAGUUUUUAAUAGUAUUGUUGCACCAUUAAAGUUAAAACCUUUUCUUCUUCUUUUUCUUUUUAAUAAGGUUAGUUGUCAUAUACCAUAUUUUCUUGCCCUAAUAGAUUUCAUCCGUUUAUUGAAUAAUAAAUUAUUGCCUUUUUAAUUAAACUUUCUAUAAUACUCUAAAAAAAUAUCAUUUCGGGAUGAUUUUGUUUGGUAUAGGUGUGAAAAUGAUAGAUUGAAUCUCCAACUUAGUGAAGUAUAUGUGAAACAAAGUUCAACUGACAUUAGAUGUGUAUUGUCACAUUCUAUGUUAAAGGAUACCGAAUUCAUGAAUCUUCAAAACAAAAAACAUUAAACAAUAACAUGCAUCCAAACUAUUGUAAUAUUUUCGUGUGAAUGGUGUUGCUUGAGCGAACAUUUUUUAUAAAUAACAAUGAUGAAAUGUUACAAUUCUAAAAAAAAAUAACUAAAUUUUUUUUCAAUUUUUAUUACCCUUUAUUUUAUUAAAGAAAUACCAUUGAAACCCUUCUUAGAGAUUUUACUUACAGUGUCAAUUAUUUACGUAUAUACUUAUAGAACAAAAUCAUUAAAAUAUAUAAUUUGUUAGGUGUAAAUACAUCCUUAAAUGUUAUAUUUUUUUACGAAUUUUUCCUUAAAUUUGUAUAGAUUUAAAAAUAUUUGAUGUUAUAAGUUAAUAAAAGAAAAUGGUUGAAAAAUGGAAGAAUGUCCACGUGUAAAACAUAAGUAAAGAUCUCGACCGUGUAAUGUUUUAAGGAAUGCAAUCGAAAUAUUUUAUCUUUCAAAUAAAAUAAUACAAAAAGUAAAAAAGAUAUAUAUAUAAUAUAUAUAUAUAUAUAUAUAUUAAUAAUAACAUUAACAUAAUAUGUUUAAGAGAAGUGGAAGCAUAUAAUAUGUUAUCAUUCUUAUCCUCUUUUCUCUUUAUGCUUUACUCUGUUUUGGAAUUUUGGUCCACUAAAGAUAAGUGAAUGCUUCUUUCUUUCUUUUUCUUUUGAAAUAUUGAGAGAAAGAAAUGGUUGAUCAAAAUAUUAUAAUAAAUAAGUAAAAUACAACAUUUUGUUUUAUAUAUGCACGUUAUAUAUUUCACUAGGUUUGGAAAAUGAUGCGAUAUAUGUAACUCUAGAAUAUCAAACGUGGAGGAAUUUUAUUUGCUUAUUUGAUAAAGUUCUUUUAAGUUGAAAAGUUCACGUUAGUUUGUAAUUAAAACUUAAAACAUCGUAGUAAAGAUGAGAAUUAUCUUAACACAUGCAAUGUAGUGCAUCGUUUCUCAUCCAAACUUCAUUGUAUUGUUUGUUCUUCGUACUUCAUAUUGCAAGUGUAUUUUUAAGGUUUUUUUUUUCGUAAAUUGAUAAUACAAUUGCAUCAUACAAUUAAGCUAAGUUUGUUUGUUCUUUUAAGCAAAUUAAAAAUUAACAUGGUGUGUCUCGUACUGUUUUAAUUUUAGUUAUACUUGUUAAUUGAACAUUAUUAGACAAUUUAAUUCAAUAGUUGAUUUGUUAUAGGAUACCUUAUUUAAAUUAUAUAUUUAUUAUUUUGUUGAACGAUGAAUCGAAGACUAAUAUAAUACAUAUGUGAUUAUGUAUUUUUUUUCAAAAUGUGAAUAUAUUGCUAUAUUUAUUUGUUAUAAUAAAUCUAUUUACAUUCGAAUAAAAAUAACUAGUGAAUUUUGUAUCUUUUCAUUUAAUUUGUCUUCUAUAUCUCACAACAAUUGUCAUGCAUGGCAUGAGUUGGUCCCACGAAAUUAAAACAGUGAAUUGAUUGAGCAAAAUAACUAAGUUGGAUUUUGAUGGUUAUUAAGCAACGAUAAAUCACACAAUAAAUUAGAUAUUCGACGUGCUCUUAAGAGCAAUAUAGAAAGUAGAUAGUUAUUACAAGAAUAAACGAUGAAAUCACGUCAACAAAGUAAAAAGAAAAAGAAAAAACAACACAAUAAUGUUGAAAUUUUUGUUUAAUCAUAUUUUAUACUUUAUCAUGUCAAAAAUUAAUUAUGUACUCUCCAUCAACAAUCUUAAAACAAAGUCUUUAGUUUUGUAUAAAAAAAAAUUGAUUAAUAAAAACAAUUAAAUAUGGUAUAAAGUAAUUUAUAUAAUAAACCUUUACACAAUUUAAAAUUAAUAAUAAUGCAGUAAAUCGUGAUGUUAUUAGUAAAGGAAUGGACAAAAAAUCGCACGCAUGUGUCACGUGAUUAAUUAUUAAAUAGUAAAAUUAAACAUACCAAAUCACAUAAUGAUUUUAAGGUUGGAAAAUGAAUAUAUUUAACCAUAAAGUGUAGUUAGGUGAUGUUAUUAUUUUGGAAUUUAAAUGGGACAUGUAGUGCCUUUCCUUAAACUAGAAACCAUGACCAAAAAAAUUACUGAGGACGCAAAAAACUAUGCUAUAAAAUAAAAAGCAACGUCUGAAUUGAAGUUCUAAUGUCCUUCCCCCAUCAACAACAACCAUUAAUAGCUCCACCCCAACUCAACACCAAAAUCCUUUUCCAAGUUUAAUCCUUAGAUCUACUCAUCCAUUCUUUGUUAUACUAAACCUUUUUCACUGUUACAUCAAUUUUUUCAAAAGGUUCUAGAGUCAUCAUAUGACGUUGAAUUUUAUUUUUUUUCCGCUAUCUUCUUUAUCAAGUUUGAAAGGUGGUUCGAUUUUUCAUUUGGUUUAUAUAUCUAGAUAUCAAAUUGAACCAAGGAGAUUUGUUGUAUAUAAAAGAAACCACGUCGAUGUACAUAACAAAAUAAAAAAUCAACUUUUAUUCGAUUCAAUCGACUUUUUUCUUUUGAAAAAUUAAAAAAAUAGCAAAUUUUACAAAAUAUUUACAACUUAUAGUAAAUUUUGUAAAUUCUAGUGAUAGUCACCAACCAAUAGAAUCCAAAUUUUUGUUAUAACUUAUAAAAUAUUUUAGUUUAUUUUGUUAUUUUUAAAAAUUGUAUUCUUUUUAUUUAUCAAAAAGGAAAUAUAUGACUUUUUAGACUAUAUAUAUAAUAAUAACAAAAAAAGAGGGAGAAAUAAGAGAAAUAUGUAAUAAACUAUUUUUGUCUUCUUCCCAUUUAGCUUGCUAGUGCAUGUAACCUAUAUUCUAAGAAAUAAAGGGAAAAUAAUUAUAUUGGGGACUUUUGAAUGGAGAUAGCUAUCUGUUUACAUUAAUUUCAACAUUUACAAGUAAAGCCAUAAACAAUUAAUAUUGAUGAAUUUAUAUGUGAAAAAGCUACCAUAUAUAUUAAAUAUAUAGUUUAAAUUAUGCUAUAUAUUUAUGUUUCUUGAAAUGGAAAACAUGUUAGGAUGGUUACGUUAUUCAUUUUUAACUUUCCUCCUUGAUUUAUGGUUGCAAAAUUCAUAAUAUAACUUUUAAUAAGUUGACUAUAAAAAUCAUUAGAUGUUAUUCGAAUAAUAUCGGUUAAAUUAGAAUAAUAUAACACAUUAAAAAUAUUUGGACACACCAUAAGAUGCCCAAAUUAAAUGUUUAACUAAUACAAAUUAUCUUUUUAUUGUUUGACAACUUAAUUUAAUUUAAAGAGGAAAUUUCUAAUAUAAUAGUUUCAAAAUUGUUGACCACCUAGGCCGCUACUAAGAAUCGUGUGGAAUCUAUAAUUUAUUAAUUAUAAUAAUUAAUGGAAAUGGUAGGUAAUAUAAACUUCUACUAGUAUCUCUUAAAGUUUAAAUUUACUAUAAAGAAAAUUAGAAUUUGAGUGGAAAUUAAAUGGUCUUGAAUUUGGAAAGGUAAUUAAUUCACCUAAAUGGAUAAACAUCUAUAAUUUUUCUUUUUCUUUUCCUUCCAACUCGUAGGCACCUUACUAUGAUGCUAUAUCGAAACUAUACUAAAAUUAGAUGUACUUAUAAAUAUUUUCUAAUAUGCUCUCACUGAUUCCAUGUGAACCCCAAAAGGAAAAAAAAACGUUAAACUUAACCAAAAAAUCAAAAGUAAUUAAGUAAAAUCUCAUCGUCAAUUAAUUUCAAGUUUGGUAUCAUGGUCGAUAUCAGACCAUGUUGAAAAUUUCACACAUUGAACAAACUAAGAAAACUCACACUAAUACACAAUAUAAACCUUGAAUGAAACAAUAAGUAGAUAAAUAUCUCGUUACUCGAACAAAUCAUAAAUAGAAGAUGUGAAAGGGAAUUGAAUGGGAGGGAGGGAGUGAGUGAGAGAUGUUUUUAAAAAGGAAGAAAUAUUUUUGGGAAAAUGAGAGAGGGGGAGAAAGCAAUUAAAAGCAUGGGGGGGACAAUUAAUGACAUUAAUUGAGAGUAGAGGCAUAAAGGUAUAGAAGGAAAGGGGGAUUGGAAAGAAGAAGAAGAAGAAAUGCAAUAAUAGCCAAUGGCAAGCAUGUGAGUGUCCUUAACAAAAGCAUUGAAAAUUGAUUGCCCAAAUGAAAUAGUUUUACUUCUGAUUUGGCGCUCUUUUUGCUGCGGCUAUCGCGUUCACAUGUGCUUCUUCCCCCCUCCCCUCGCCCCCAUAUGUUGCUUACCACUGCCCUAACUUCAAUCCUCCACCGACACAUUUCAAGCCCUUUUUCUUUCCUCUUUUCAAAUAUCAUCCCUACCUCAUCUUUCUUUAUUAUAACAAAUUAUUCUAAACUCUAAUUCAAUAUUUAUAAAAUGUAAUAAAAUUUUAGAUUUUGUAGUGAUAAACGUUUAUGAAAGACUGUUACCGGCUUGAUGAUUUUUGUUAUAUUUGAAAAUACUCAACUUAAUAUCGCUUUUCUUUUAAUAUUUGAGGUUGAAUGUAUGUUAAUUAAUUCGUUUUUCGUUAAUUCUUAGACACUAACGUUAAACAACAAUUAGAGCUAGUAUAUAUUUAGUACCAACUACAAUUGAAAAAAAGUAUAAUAUAUUGAAAUUUUUUAUAAUAAUAAUAAUAAUUUAUAAUUUGUUUUCAAAUCCGAAUAAUUAAUAGACUAAAGUGACCAUUAAUUAUCAAAUAUUGGUUUGGGAAUCAAAACAGAGAGACGUAGAUUAGAUCACAAGUGUGGAUAGUGGAUAAAUAAAUUAGAAGGAUAGAAUAUUCAAUUCAUUCAAACCAGAAACAUUUGAAUAUGGUUCAUUAAUUACUCAUUAUAUUUUAUCUUCGUGAAAUUUAAAUUAACUAGUAUUUAACCAUUUUUCAGUAAAGAUUUGAUCGAAUCUUGAAUAUUUUGGUUCUCAACACAUACAAGUACCAAUUGAAUUUAAUUUUUAUGAAUGAUUCACCAAUAUUACGUUGAAAAAAGCGUUUAAAUUUGUUUCUUUUAAAUAUUGCAAAAAUAAAUUCAAACCAUAUACACUCCCUGUCCUCAAGUAUUUUUUAUAAACCAUAUUAUAUAUAUUAUUAUGUAUUUGUGUAAUGUGUCGAAUAAAUAGUUGGAUGAAUUUUUGCUAUAUUUAUAAUAUAUGGUUUGAAUGUUUGAUAUUAAUGGGUAUUUGAUGCAUAACCAAUCAUUAAAUAAGAAAGAAGAAAAAGGGAAAAAAAGGGGUUCUGCCCAUAAUAAAAUACGUGCCGACAAUUCAAUUCACACUCACCUCUCUAAGCUUCAGAAUAAUUAUUAAAUGGUGGGCUAAUGAUAAAUAGAAAAUAGUAAAACUAUCAAAUUUUUUUUUUUAAUUUCUAUCUCAUGCAUUAAACUAUGUAACAUUAUUAGUCCUAUAGUAACACCUCAACCAAAGCUUAUGAUAUUUAUUUUGACAUUACAUUGAUAUAUUUGAUAAGGUCUCUUAAUCAAGGAUUCUUGAAUGUUAGCUUUUAAUAUGUAUUUGCUUGCAGUGGAUUUUUUAAAUACUUUGUUGUUGUUGUUUUUUUUUUAUAUAAUUAAUAUUUGACUAAAUUGAAAAAGAACACUCAAGUAUUAGUAUAAGUUGAACAAAUUCCUAUUUGUUUUGAUUUAUUAGAAAAAACUAUGGGCCUGGCUGUAGCUCAAUCGUACUUAGAUUACGGGCCGUUCUAUAAGGCACGGUUGGCAGAGCGUAGGCCCAAUACUUGGUGCUUAUUGCUCUGCCUCUGCUUUGCGAAUUGUUUUUGUGAUCCAAAAUACAUCUUAAUUUCUAAACUUGAGGUGCCGAUAGAUAAGUAAUAUGUGACUACUGAUAUUCGACGUAGAGAAAAGUAGUUAUUGACUUACGAAUAAACGUUAGGAAAACAAAGAGUAAAAUCAAAACAAACAUUAUCAAGAAAUGAAAAGAAAAAGUUUGUAUCAAGUGUGUAUCGUGAGUCACUUUUGUAAUGUAAGUUGGCAACAUAGAUUAACAUUAACAUAGAUGAUUCGUACUAAAUUUUGUAGUACUCGAUAGUCAAACUACAAAAUCUAAAAGUGUUUUUUCUUUGAUUAAAUUUUCUAGAUGAUUGGAAGUAAGUUUUAUUCAAACGAGGCAAGAGCAAUAAUAUUACGAAACAUCGAUUUAGUGUUUGUCAAGUCAGUUUUGCAAAGUUUAUCACUACAAAUUGAGUAAAUAUAAUAGAGUCACGUUUUGAAGGCCAUAUGUUAUAUGAGUUAUUUCAAUUGAAUAUACGAAACAACCAAACUCGUAAAAUUGUAAUUUAUUUACACUUUGUAACGUGGAGGAAAGAAAACCUGGAAAAAAGAAUCUAAUGCCAAGUCAACGAUGAGAUGAAAAAUAAGUCAUAAGUUGUUAGAUACAUCAGGUAAAAGUAUCAUAAUAACUUUACUAUUUUCUCAUGGAGGAAGGAUAAGAUAAAUUCUUCCUAUUUCUAAUAAGUUAGGGUAAGAUUUUAUUUUAUAUUUUAUUGACUCGUGACUUAUUCGAUAACGUUAAAUUUUAUCUCGAACGCAUGCAAAAGUUAUAUAUGGUAUGGGAAUAUUAUUUUUAAAAAAAUGUAUAAAUUAGAACCGUAAAAUUGUAUACAUAAAUAUGAAAAGGGAAAAUAAAUGAUUAAAGAAAUAAGUGAAGUAAAUAUUUGAAGCUAAAAAAAUAUUAAGAUUAAGUUAGAAGGAAAAAAUAUCGGAAGAGGAGAGAGACAUAGAGGGCGCCAGCGGGAUGAUGCUAUAAAUAUAAAUUCCCUACGCCAAAGGCGUGGUCAUUUAUUGAAAGGAAACCCAUCCUCUUUCUUGCCGUCCUCCGCUUUUCUCUUCUUUUAGGGUUUCUCUCUCAAACUCUUAACAAUGGCUGACGAAGCUCAGUAUUCAUCUGCUACUGAUACUCCUUCCAACAAGCGCAAGUACGAUGACCAACCUCCACCCCGCCGUCCAACUGGCUUUUCCGGUCCCAUCACUUCCCCUUCAUCCGAUUCCGCUCCCUCCUACAACAACGUCCCUCCCCCUAUGGAUGAGAUCCAGCUCGCUAAGCAGCGUGCUCAGGAGAUUGCCUCUCGCUUGAUUAUCUCCAGCGGUGGCGUUGGGGCUGGUGCUGGACCUGGCGUUGGAGCAGAUGUCAAACGUCCGAGGGUUGAAAACGGCGGCGGGUAUGACUCCUACGACAAGGGUUUUAGUUCUGGUCCAGGUGAUUAUUGUUUUGAUUUUUUUUAUCUUUGUUUGAAUAUUUCAUGGUCUUGCGUGUUUGUCGAAGGUGUAUUGAUUUUCUCACGACUCAGUGAGCUUAAAGUGAGUCAGGUCUUGUAUAUGGGAAGAAAAUAAGUGGGAACACUCGGAGAAAAUCUUGUGGAGUGCUAGUUAUAUAUUUCUUGUUCACAGGGAGUGGGUUGUGUACAAAAAGGUCCAGUGUUCGUGAUUUUCUAGAAGUGGCGUGCACUUUCUUUUAUUGCAUUUGGAGUAGAGCAUACGUAGGGGGAUGAAAUGAAGGUUUCUGGAUUUCAGUUUAGUGGUUUAGAUAGAGCUCUCUCAGUUAUCAGAAUGCCUAUGUUCCAUGUUCUUUUACCCUCGUUUCCUGUAAUAAUAACUUUAAAAUGUGCUGGUGAUGUAUUACGGUUUAAAAGCAAGAAUUGUGUACAUGUUUGGAUGCUCAUUGGUGAUCUUGAUUUGUGUGGAUGCAGACCUGAAGCCUCACAUGUCAAAUUCAGCCCCUUCAGCGAUACCUAUUUCCUAUGGUUUCCAAGGGUCAAGCAAGAAAAUUGAAAUUCCAAAUGGGAGAGUAGGCGUAAUUAUUGGUAAAGGUGGUGAGACGAUCAAGUACCUUCAGCUCCAGUCUGGGGCAAAAAUACAAGUUACUCGUGACAUGGACGCAGAUCCCAACUCUACUACUCGGAUGGUUGAGCUAAUGGGCACCCCUGAUCAAAUUGCCAAGGCUGAGCAGCUGAUAAAUGAUGUUCUUUCUGAGGUUGGUCUUUUCUUAAUUUUGGAAUUUCAUGGUGUGCCUUUGGGAGCGGCAUCAAUAUAAGUUUGUGGUUUCCUGUUAUAACGUUGACAUGCCAUGUAGCAAUACAUUGGUUUGGAUGGAUAAUGGAUUGACUACAGCCUUACCAAGUUUACAACUUUGAACUUUAUUUAUGGGCAAUAUGUUAUUCAUACGUCCGAUGCAAAAUAUGAUUGUAGUUGAAGAUAAGACUUUUUACUUGGCUUGAAAAUGUGUUUGUCUCAUAAAAUUUAUCAUUUGAAACAGGCUGAAUCUGGCGGUUCUGGCAUAGUAUCACGAAGACUAACAGGCCCUUCAGGAUCUGAGCAGUUUGUUAUGAAAAUUCCUAAUAAUAAGGUUCUCAGAAACAUUUGUUUUGGAAUUACCAAGUAUUGCUUGUCUAUCUUGGGAAUGUAAUUCUGUUCACUUUUUGUACUUCUGAUCGUGAAAAUAUUAAUUUUUCUAGGUUGGCUUGGUUAUUGGUAAAGGUGGUGAAACAAUCAAAAGUAUGCAAGCUAGGACUGGAGCACGUAUCCAGGUCUGUUCUAUCUUUAUGUGUAUAUAUGUAUAUAUUACAUACGUCUUUUAGAAGGCUUCCCAAAGCUAACUUCCGUUCCUUUUUAUUUCAAUAGUGCAACUAAUUUUCACUUUCUUUGGUCAUGUAACAUAGAACAUUGUUUUGAAUUUUGAUUGUAUGGCAAUAUCUACUCUUCUUUUCUGUAGGUGAUACCAUUGCACUUACCCCCUGGGGACACAUCUACAGAAAGAACCUUACAGAUUGAUGGUUCAAGUGAACAGAUUGAGUCAGCAAAACAGUUGGUUAAUGAAGUUAUCAGCGAGGUGCGUUUGCAGAUCUGGGUUACAUAUUUAUUUUGCCUUGUUGUAGUUGGAAUUAAUACCUGGUUAACACCUACUUCCAUUUAUUUUUGUGUUUAUAAUGAUUUUUCCUGCUUGUCUUUGGUUAUUUUUUAUACAACUGUUGAUGCAACUGUUCCAUCUUAUUCUGAAACUCCUUUAGUUCUAUUCUCACAAAAAAAAACUCCAGUUUUAUUAAUUUUAGGGUUCUACCUCAACGCCAAGGUCAGCAUUAAACCAGUGGUGUUGAUUGGACGUUGGCAUAUUUGCUUUCCUUACCUUGUAGUUUACAUUAUGCUGUGAUAUGGGAGGCAUCUGGUAUUCAUUGGCUUAAAUUAUACCUCCAGUUUUAUUUAGAAAAUGAUAUCUGCUUCUUGUUCUUGUUCUUUUUUUUUUUUGGUAUUAUGUUUCUCUUUCAAAUUAUGUUUUCUUACACAGGCUUGUUACCUUGUUUUAUUUGUUAUAAUUUUGUAAAAUCAUUCUACAACAUUAUGCUGCUUUUUAUUUCUGGGAGGAAAUAGUUGAGAAAAAAUUCCCGUUUUUAUGUGGUUCUGUCGGACAACUGACUCAACAAGAAAUUGAUUUAUUUUUUUCCUUCACUAAUGGUACUUCUUGGCUCUUCUUAAUUUUACUCUACUAGUGUAAUGGAUCUUCUACAAUUUCUGGCUUAAACACUAUACAAUAUGCUCAGCAUAUGGUGUUCUUGUUCCUUUAACGAACUAUUAAUCUGCUGCUGUGUCUGCAAAUCUGCAAAAUCAUUUAUUGCUAAUGCUAAUGCACUCAUGCUCUGCUAAUAUGCAUUAGCAUUUUGACUACAGUAGGAAGGCUUGUUCUCUCACUGUGCUCAUACUUUCGUCUUUGAGGGGGGCUCCCUUCGUAGGUCUAUGGAAUCAAAUGCUGCUUUGUGGUUUCACUCAAGGAAUUAGAAACAUUGGAAUAUUUCAGCCUGUUAUACUUUUAGAUCUCUUAUAGAUUGAGACAGCUUUUAGGUCUUUUACCCCUAAUCGAUCUGGAUUUGUUAUUAUAUCUGCAAUUGUUUAUUCUAUAUAUCCACUAAUGCAGAGAUGGAGGACAUAAGGUUCUGGGAUUGGAAAGAGGUGAAAUUAUUUUACAGAUUACUGCUUGGUAAUUUUUUGAAGAGUGAUUAUUGUAUCAGAAAGGUUCCCAUUGGUGAUUUGCUGGCUCCUUUGGAUAUUUCAGUUUAUCAGUCAAAUAUUACUCUUAUUAGGUUGUUUAGGUUAUAUGAUAUCUCUCCUAUUUAAGAUGUUAUCAGCCCAUUUGGUAUUAUUCUUGGUUUUAUAUCUAAGUGUUAUAUUAUUGGGAUUAUGGCCUGUUCAACCGUCACAUGUGCUUAUUAAUUAUGUAUCCUGCAACUGAUAUUGUUAUUGGGAACUAUUGUAGGGUUAGGGUUAUUGGACCAUUAGUGACACCAACAUGGAAUCCUUUAUGUUGGUGUUCUCUCAACGUUGCUCUGGUAUGGUUCUGAAUCCCAUAUUAUAAUGAUAUAAAGUGAUGAUGUGGAGAGAAGUUGCAGGUUUAUCUGUUGGAUAUUCAAGGUCUUUAGUAAAAUUUGAAAAGUCACCUUACCAUUCUAUCAUUCUUUUUCUGGUGGUUUACUUUGAUUUGGGAGAGUUUCAUCUUUUAGUCUAUAAAUUAUUCAUUUCUUAAUUGUCUAUUUACUGUGCGUACCAUUUGUGAAAUUAUUUUAGUUUAAUAUAGGCAUGCGGGUUAAUUUGUUGGAUAACUGUACUAUGAUGUAUUUUUGGUACUAUCAUAUUUUAGUGGCAACAUCACCUGAUCGUUCAGUGAGUCCGCCUUUGAUGGAUAUUCCAGAAAGUCCUUUAGACUCCUGUUUUGGUUUAAUUAGUUAUUAUUAUAUGUUUUCCACCAAAAAGAUGAAUUCUCUAAUUAUUAAUUUUUUUACUUAAAUUGACCUUAACAUUGUUCUUGUAAUUGAAGAAUAUUUUCUUGUUUCAAUCUUUAUGGGCUAUCUUUAGUUACUUUGGAGAUUAUGGAUCGUUUCUUACAAAGGUCUGUAUAUGUCAGUGUCUUCUUUUUCAUCGUCCAAAUUGCUUUUCAGCUUUUUUGGAAGUAUUUUUCUUUACAAUAAUUUGCAAUCAAAAUUCUUUUGACUAUAAAAUAUUUUUCACUUCAUAUUCUAUUGGUGUCUGAAGAUAGUGUAUGGGGUUGUUUAGUUUUAGCUUGAUAUCCAACUAAUUGAUUAUUCUAUAGAAGAUUUAAUAAUUGGGGAAGACAUUGCUUUUGUUGUGCUUUGCUAUGAACUUCUUUGCCUUUUGGGGCAAUUAAGUUCAUAUAUUCUGUUCUGUAAAAGCUUUUGUAGUCGUCUGGUUCUCUUUGCACCCAUUCACUUCGAAUAGGGAGAGGUUGAGCUUCUGCUGGAGUAACUCAAUAACUCAUCAUCCAGUACGGUAUGUUGGUGUUUUAUACUCUUCCUAAUGCAGUAUAAGCUCCUUUAAUCCCUCUACAAAACAUACUGACUAUGGUUUUCUUUUUGCAUAUCCUUGAUUUCAGAUUUGGCAUUUUCUUUCCAUUUCGCAUAAUGCAUAUGAAUGUUGUGCUUUCCUCUUCUUACCAUCCCCUACGUUGGUUUCUUACGUUAAUUGAGAAGGAUUCACCUUUGUUUUCAUUUUUAUGUUUAAUCUCUCAGAAUCGCGCGAGAAAUUCAGGUAUGUCAGGCGGGUAUAAUCAGCAAGGUUAUCAAGCUCGACCCCCUUCAAGUUGGGGUCCUCCUGGGGCUCCACCAAUGCAGCAGCCUAAUUAUGGCUAUGGACAACAAGGCGGAUAUUCUGCUCCUUCGUCUCAGUAUAACAUAUCACAACCUCCUUAUCAGGGUUAUUCCCAACCAGCAUCUGGUGGAUAUGCUUCCAAUUGGGACCAGUCUACUGUUCCGCCAAAUCAACCUGCUACUCAAGGAAGUGGUUAUGAUUACUACGGUCAACAGGCUCCACAGCAACAACAGACAGCUGGAGGCCCUGGUGCUACCGGAGACAACAGUGGUUAUAGUUAUGGUCAACCACCAGCCACUACUUAUAAUCAACAGGGUUAUUCUCAAGAUGGCUAUGGUGGUAAUUACCAUGCACCUCAGUCUGGUUAUGGCCAACCGCCAACAUAUGAUCAACAGGGUUAUAGUUCUACCACAAACUAUGGUAAUGUGGCUAACGCCACUCAAGAUGGGCUCAAUUCGUAUGGCUCUCAAGGGGACUCAUCACAGACGGUCCCUCCUGCUGCACCACAGCCCUCUUCAGUGAGUCAGCAAGGUUAUAGUGCAAAUCAACAGCCUAGCCCUAACCCAGGGAGUUACCCUCCACCAAGUCAGUCGGGGUAUGGAAUGACUGCACCUUCCCAAACUGGCUAUGGAAAUCAACCUGCUGCUCAGGCUGCUUAUGGGGCUGCUUAUGGAGCUCCUCAGACUCAGAAACAACCUCCUACUAAUCCUCCAGCCUAUGGUCAAAGCACUCAGUCACCAAGCACCGCUAGUGGCUAUGGGCAACCUGCUGGAUUGCCAUCUGGAUACUCAAGUACGCAGCCACCCGCAUCCGGGUACACUCAACCAGAUUCUGCUUCUCAACGUGCUCCACCAUCCAGUUACGGCACUGCUGCAGCUCAGCCAGGGUUUGCGCCACCUCCAUAUGGUGGUGCUCCUCCAACAAAUCAGUCAGCUUACGGGCAAGCUCCACCACCUUAUGGUGGCUCUUAUGGUGCUGGUUACCCUCAGCCCCAUUAUUCAUCUGAAGGUAAUGCAGGUGGUGCUACUCGUGGGGGCUAUGAUUCUGCAUCAGCUGCUCAGGCAGCGACCCAAAGUGGGGUUGCAAAAGCAUCACCAAAAAGUUGAUAAUAUUGUAUGUGUUUGCUUAGGUGUGUAUGUUGCGGAGAACGUAGCUUUGUUUUUGUGGUUUUUAUUAGACAGGUAGUUUUAUGAGACCUCAUUAAUGCCCGAAUUCUUUACUGUACUUUGUUUUGCUAUGGUUAAAAACGGUUCUGGAGUUUUGUCUCUCUUGAACAAAACACUCUUUCUCUACAGGCGGUGGCGUCUCCUUGAUGAUUUUGAUUUUUGAUUGUGGCGUUGGGGAUUAAGACUGUUUAGGAUUAUUGUAACUUUAAGCUACGGAAAUGGUAAAAUAGCAUUUAUUAAAUAAAAUGUUAGAUAUGAAAAAUUCUUAUUUCAAAUGUUUAUAUGAACUUAUAGCAAAAUAAUACAAAUACAUCUUUUAACAGAUCUACUUAUUCAAAAAAUUAUUAUAAUACUUUUUUCUAUUAAAAUUUAUGCGUUGUAAAAUAUUGAUGUGUGAUAUAUUGUUAUAGUAAAGCUGAAUCCUUUACUUCCAUGUGUGAUACAUUGUUAUAGUGAAUAUAAAUACAGAAGUACACUUGGAAAAACGGAAAAAUGUGUAUGGCAGGUGAACUUCUAUUUCUUUUCUCAGGUAAAUAUAAGUCUAACCCAAAAAAAUUCGGAUCUCUCCCCGCUGUAUCCUAGAUUCUUGUAUAGUUUAAAAGAAAUUAUUCCUAAAAGCCAUGAAUGCUUUGGGUGAAAGUAACAAGAUGAACGCAAGGACCGAACCAAAUAACAAUUUGAUAGCAUAUAGGAAGGGAUCGUGGUCAUCUGCAUCUGUUGAACUUGUGUGGGGUGCCAAUGCCGUUGCGGAUGGAAGGGCUUCAAUUACUGCAUCAGCCAAAUCUGAAAUGAAUGAAGAAUUGCAAUUGAGGGCAGGCACACGGCCCCAGUUUUGGAUUCCAGAUUCAAGUGCCAAGUGCUUAUACUCCAUAUCUAUCUCCUCGAGAGUCUCAAUGUGCUCACUCACAAAGCUGGGAAGAGACAAGUAAAACUAUUAUAAACAAAACGCCACCAGUGCAUAAGAAUAUCCAACUUCACUUAACACGCUUCACCUUCUCCAAGUCUUUCAAAACAAGUAAAACAAAUUGUAAACACGAUCAAACAGCAUACUGCUUAUAACCAGUUGAUUGUUUUAAAGCAAAAAACAGUUGCCUUUUUUAAUUUUGAAGAAAAACCACGUAAACAGCCAAUCUUUUGUGAUGAAGUUCAAAGUUGAGGAACGACCAAGAAAGCCCAAAAUUAUUCAAAGCACUUUGGGCCUAAGGUUCUCCAUCAUUAACACUAGCACAAGGAGUUCGAAAUAUAUAAUUGUCACGUGAAUUAACUUCAUUAAUAUUCACUCUAAGAUCAUAUGAGAACCAAGAUGAGAAGGAUCCCCUGGAAUUAUGAAGCUACAAGGAACCAAAAACCAAACAAUCAAAUUAACAGUUCGUCCUUUUAUGGUUUAUGAACAAGCCAUACCUCACGGGAACGGCUAGGAGACUCUUAAUACCCUUCUGGCCAAGCUCAACAAGAACUUCAUCUGUGUAUGGCUUAAGCCAUUGUACAGGUCCAACACGGCUCUGAAAAAUGUAAUACAUAACAAGAAUAAAAAACCACACGGAUGUAGUUAGGAAAACAAUGAAAUAAAAUGAUAGAAAAUCUGAAUAGUUGUUGGGGCUCAAAAUGUUAAAGAAAAAGAUAGGAAACCAUGCCAAGCUUCAAAUUUAUUACUAACCUGGUAUGCAAGAGUAUGCUCAUUCCCAAUUCCUCUGGCUUUCAGCUCUUGCAUGAUUAGGCAGAUGCACUCUUCCAUUUGAUCUUUGUAUGGAUCUCCAGCAUUCUCAACAUAACUGACGGGAACCCCAUGUGCACUAAAGAAAAUCAUGACCUAAGGUGCAAAUAAGUGAUGCUAUAUUAAGAACUAAUUGACUUGGACAUCCAUUGCUGCAUAAAAAUAAAGCAUCUCUCUAAAAUAAGUUUCAGCAAAAAUUAAGUACCUCUUGAGGAUUGGCAAAAUUCUUCAGCUCUGCCUGCAUCAAGUCAGCCAUUGACUUAAUAUACCCUUCCCGCUGGUACCAGGACUUUAUAAUUGAAACAGGCAACGAUGAGAGAUAUGCAUCUUCCCUGAUAGACAACUCAUAGUCAAUAAGUUAAGUUGGUAGCAGUAAUUUUUUUAAUAAUAACAAUAAAAUCAAAAUAUUAUAAUACUAGACACGAUCAUCACCUGAACAUCUUCUGGAGAACACGAAUACUAGACCCAGUUGUAGAAAUAGAGUACUGUGGAUACAAUGGCAGCACCACAAGUCUUGUUAUCCCAUCCCUCUUAAUCUGCCACACACAGCAAAAGGAACUACCAAUUUUAAACUUCAUUUCAAACAAUGCUUCAAACAAAAACGUGAGGUUACAGGCAUAUUAGGAAAUCCCGUGGUUGGUAGUAAUAUAAAAUUCUUCCCUCCAUUCGAAUUACAAGGCAAGGGGAAUAGAUAAAACAUAGAGCGUACUUGCUGAAUUGCUUCCUCUGUGAAAGGGUACCAAUAGCGCAUUCCCACAUAGACAUUAGUAGACAUGUUUUUCUCCUCCAAAGCCAUUUUAAGCGCUUGUGCCUGCAACAAGUAUUCACAAAUUAUCAAUAUUGAACAUUUGUUUUAUACCCAACUGGGAUAUGCCAUGAUGAACAAUUUGAAGGAAAUAAGAGAGGUCAAUCAACCUGUUCAUCUGUGAUUUUACGCAAAGGUGAGCCACCUCCUAUUGAAGCAUACCCUUCUUUGCUUUUGGGAGCACGGUAUGUAGAUAUUAAUUUUGCCAAUGGCUCUUGGAGGAAACGGAACAACCUUGGGAGUCGGAUAAUAUCCUAUGCAUCAUGAAAAGAAGUAAGAAAAAAGAGCUAUUGGCAUGUUAAUUUGUUGUUAAGACUAGUUGCAUUAAUUAACUAAGAUACCGGAUCUGCAAAUAGAUUGUACAGAAAUGGUUGGACAUCAUCAAGCGUUUCCGGCCCUCCAAGAUUCAAGAGCAGAACUCCCACCUUGUCAUCCACUGCCUGAGAUUGAGAUUCUAAAGCAAAUUCACCAACGGUGAAAGUUCCUACUGAGCAACAUGCUUGCCCCAGACGGCUUUUCUUCUCAAUGGGGCCAGAAAGAUGUAACCCCUGAAUUACAUCUCUGUCACCAUUGGAGCUAGAACAAGAAACCACUAAUCCUGUAGACCUAUCACGAACUUGCAGAUUUCCAGACGUUUUGCAAGAGAAAGUCACGCGAGAUUUCGGCAAAGAGCAUAACCUGAAAACAGGAAAAUAUACAUUGAAUUCCUAACUUCGACAAUAUAACACCUAAACCCCCCCUUAAAAUAUCAGUCACUGCCAUGACAUCCUCCAUACAAUAAAAUAACUAAGAAACUUCCUUCACAUCAACUCCAGCUACUAGAAUCCACGAUCACAUAACUUCACAUUGAUCGAACUAAAAGGACUGAUUCCAAGUAUACGACACGGGGUAACUUCAUCCAAUAAUCAACAUAGAGUUCAAAUGGGGGCGAAAUUUUAAAAGGGUACAAACGAUAUAAACCAAAAUCCAGAUUCCAAAGCAAGAAGAAAAGGUCGGUUAAGAAUUAACCGAUAAGGAACAUGAAGAAGAAGUGAUAUAAAAGAGAACUUACGAUGAAAUUCUUUGAUCCGAAUUGAGGGUAUUGGUGGAACCGUGAAGCUUGAUAUUGGAGAGGGCGAGAGAGGAAGAGGCGGCGUCCAUGGAGUCGAAAAUUGGAAGAACAACGAUCUAAAUCCAAAACCCGAGAAGAAAUUGAGUACAGAUAUGAGUGAGGAAGAAUGGGAUUGGUCGAUUAUAAAAAUUGGAGAAAUGGGAAACGUGGAAUCGGAAGGAGGAAGAACGGUAGAGAAGUCAAAGUUGGGGGAGGGAAGGAUCCGGGAAAUGGAAGCGCCAACCACUCUCCCAAGUCUCACCAUUAUAUAUUCAAAGUUUGUUUCGUGUUGAAGACUCAACGCAUCUACGUGUGGGCCGUACUCCUAACUUUCUUUAAUUUCUAAUUUUCAUCCAUAUAAUUAUAUAUAAAAAAAGUUAAAAUUUAAUUUCCAUAUUUAAAAGUUAGGAUUAAAAUAGAACAUAUUUAGUCAAAUUAAUAACUCGAGUUCCUCUUAAAUAUGUUCUUCGAUAUUUUUACAAAUCUCAUCUAAGUUCGAUGGUACUUAACUUAUUAAGUAGGAGUAAAAAUUGCUUAUUAAUGCUACAUAUCGCUACUAAAAAUUUAUCGAUAUCUAAAGUAACUAAUAAUUUUUGUUGAUUUGCAAUUUUUAAAAAUAUUGCUCAGCCCUACUUACCUAAAUUUUAAUUUUCUAAAAAAGAAUUAUUCGAUUUUUUUGGUAUUUACACGUGUAUUAUGUAGGUAGUGCAAAAACUUCAACAAAAUUGGUCUAAAUUUGUAUCAAAGAAAUUUAGGCAUUUUUGGUACUCACUACAUAAUACAUUUGUUCUGAGUGGUUGUUUGAUCCUUAUCUAAAUUACGAAAAAAAUAAAAAGAAUAAAUUGAAAUAAUAAAUAAGUUUCCUAAAAUUAACUAAAUUCCUUCUUUUCACCUUUGUAAAAGGUCAAACGUGGAAUGAAAUAUUAUUCAUUAUGAUCCAAAGAAAGAAGUAAAGGUGUCUAGUGAUAUCUUAUAACAUAGAUCACCAUUGAUAGCAAUUGUUUAUAAGAAGAGUCCAACAUCAUUCUUUCCAAAGAAAAUUCUCAUCCUAUGUUGAAAAUAGAUUAUCGUUCUAGAUAUGAAAAAUGAUCUGUCAACAAAGGUAAUCCAUAUUCUAUAUGAAAUUUUAUUUUGUCUUUUACCAGAUGGGUUAAAAGAUUUUUUUUUCUUCAAUAAAUACACAAGCAACCAUUAGAAUUCACAUCAUUUUACCAAGUUGAUUAAAUCUACACUUCAAUCCUUCUAAAUUUUCAUGGGAUGGAAAUUAAACGAGGGGCGGAGGCGAGGGAAUCAUCCCAUCUUGGUCAAAUUCCAAAUAUACCAAACCUAAAAAUGACCAAACUUCAACUUCAUUUGGGAAAAAAGGGGGAAAACAUAUUAUUUCCAAAUAUAGAGAAAACAAAAAUGGCUGAUGAUACUAGAAAUCAUUGAUUAUAGUGUAAAUUUGAUUGGUUGGAGCAUUAAGCAGAUGUGAAACUUGUCUCAACAGUCCGAACACUACUUGGUCAAAUUCCAAAUUUCCAAUCAACAUCAAAGUCCCAUUCUUUCCAAGAAACUAAUGAGAUUCUCCACUUACUAGACAAAAAGAAGGGUAGGAAGGAAAUGCAUGUAAAUGUAACUCAAAAUAGUUAAAAGUGUUAGGAUCCAGUAGAGAUUAUACAGACGAAAUAUUUUAGAGAAAGAAGGAUACUGAGUAUAUCUUCAUUCGACAUUUGAAAAUCCGGCACCACCUUCCGCUCGAGUCCUGUCCAUGGGCACAAGCUUAGUCAUUUAGGGGACUGAUAGGGUACAAAAGAAAGAUGAGAACAAAGAUAAUAAAGAGCAAGAAAGUCAAAGUGAGCUAGCUCGAUGGUAAGUGAAGUGUGCUAGCUCGAUAGUAAUUGAAAUAUACUCAUUUCUCUUUAGGUUAGAGGUUCGAAUUUUCACAACCCCAUAUUUUAUACUAAUGAGCAUACGGAACUUUCAUCGACUUUUUGAAAAAGAUAAACACCGGAACAAGCAAUGGAUAAGAAACUGUUAAUAGCUCAAUCAAGGGGCAUCCUCAAAUAAGUUGAGUAGACGGAUGUGAUCAAAACACAAGGACAAUAAUUUGAAAGAAAAUAAUUAUAAACAAAAAAGAUGGAUAAGGAGAAUGUAUAGCUAUAACGUAUGCAGUGUCUUCUACCGUGGAGAUUGAACUGAGUGAAAGACACUUCAGAUUAAUGCCUUCUUGGAGCCAAAGAACAAGUAAAAUAUUAUCAAUACCAUCCAUCAAUGGAAAUAGCACUUACUUGUGGUCAGAAGGAUUUGGUGUGAUUUCGUAGACAAUUGUUGCAACAACAUCUCUCUUUAGCUGUUGAUUAAAAUGAAGAUAUUUAGUUAUUUAAAUCAACAAAAUCAUCAACUGAUUCUUGCCCACAACUUUACCUGCGUGGCUUCACCUUUCAACCCAAUGUAGUGUAUCUGAGUCGUGUCACCACCAUAAUUAUCAGGAAAAUGCAAAGUGAUGUUUCCCACACCUUGAAAUUUGGAAUAUCUGAUUAUGUAUAUAAAUUAGCUGUCAAAAAAUAGUUGUAAUCUAACAUUGAAAGAAUUCACAGGCUCGAUAAUUAUAAGGGGAAAGAAAAUGCUCAAUUUUUUUGCUAUCAAUUCAAACAUUUUCAGAUGAUCUGAAAGAUAUGUUCCUCUAUAAAACAUCCUUACCUUGUUUGGUACUCUAAUACUCCUUGCAAAUUCUCAGCCAAAUCCCACUCCUAGAAUAAUAAAAAAUGCGUUACAGUUACAACAUAUGGUUAGGCGUCAAAAUUUCUCCAUGAAUCUCCGCCAGACAUGCUAACAGGUAGUACCUGAACAGCUUGCAUACUUUGAGCAUCUGAGAAGUCAAUACCUUCUCGAUUGAUAAACCUGAUUAUGAAGGAUAACUUGCGUAUAAGAACUAACGCAGGGAGAGAACUAGAAGGGAUAAAACUUAAUAUUCACAUAGAAAACCAAGUGUGUGAAAGUUCCAGAACAUCGAACUUACACCCUCAUCUUUGAAGGACUAGUACCAUCUGGACCACCAAUGAUAGAUAUGCUUUUGAUCUUAACAUCUGAUGUAAAUCUAAUCAUAAAAAAAGUGGUAAUGAAUUUUUAAGAAACAGGGAGAGUGCCAGAACACAAAAAGCGCACACCACAUAUAAGCAAUGUAGCCAUCGCUGCAAAACAAAGAUACAGGCACAGAAAUCUUCAUGACAUAAUAUAAAUUUUAUUAUCAGAUAACUAAAAUUGUUCUUGUGAUAUCUGCUUUCGAAGUUUCAGACCAGCCGACAAACACAUAGAUUCUUAGACAAACAGUUUUCUCUUGGUAGGAACACGAAAUUGCGUUUAGGAAGGGUAUGAAUUUACUAGGUGAAAUGGCUGAGCACCUAUGGGAAUUAUUUAGGAAGGCUAGAAGAAUAAAAAAAAAGGGGGGAAGUCGUGAUAAUUUAUGUCUUCACAAAAUUAUUUAUUUCCAUAUUCGCCCUGAGAUAUAUAAAAGGGAUGGUUGAGAAACUAUAAAUUUUAUUACAUUAAAAUGUAAAUUACGAAUAACCAUUACAAUAACUGUACUUAUUAACGAGUACAUAUCAAUGUUAUUAAGGUAUCAGGUAUAGUUAGAAUCCAAAAGUACAGGAACACCUACGGGAUGAAAACUAGCAGUUCAGGAUCACCCUCGUUGCUUUCCAAGUGAUCCUGUUGUAUAAAAACGAAAUAUAUGAGGCUACUUUAUCCUAGCAAUCGGGUACAUGGCACUGAUACACGCAGAUAUAAAGGUAAGGUACCCCAGAUGAGUUUAACCGAUGCUCCCAAGCUUUAAAUACUGACUUCACACUUCCUGGAGUUGCCUCAUUCAAAGCUGAAACCUAAAAAAAUAGCAGAACCUGUGAUCAUAAAUAAAAUUUCCACCAGUUCCUUUGAGGGAAAAAAAAUUAUAAUACGUGUGGGUUCGACAUGCAAUCUACAAUAAGAGUUCAAGGCUCUUCCAUAAAAGUUACUCAUAAGAUUCAAUUGAUUCCGUCCACAAUUAUCAACUUGCAUGAAACAUGCUAUUGACGGAAGGGGCAAUUGUCAUCCUUGUGUGAUUUUAAGAGUAAUGCAUUCAAAGAAUUUCUCCAAUCUUAAAGAUGAAAAAACUCAACAUCAUUAAUACUUCCACAUAUUCACUCAUAAUCUAACCUCUCCGAUUUCUUCUAGCCUUAAAAUAAACAGGAAGAUUUAUCAGUUUCAUCAAUACUUCGCCCACAGUAUUCAUUCCAACGUCAGCAGACAAUUACUUGUGCCUUAAAAGUUAUGGGGAAAAAUCCGUCAGCAUUGCUAACAUCUACUCAUAAUUGUUCCAGUUAUUGAACAACUCCAAUAAGCUUGCAAGACAAGAUGGCAAUGGAAAAUAAUAUAUUUCUAACAAAGUUAUCAAAUCCCCUUAAUAGUAACCAUUGAUGUUCUUGCUAUGCGUGCUAUGUUUAUCUCUCGUAUAACUCAAAUAUGAAUAAAAUAGUGGAAAUAUUAGCACAAUCCUCUUCCAAUUUCUUCCCAAAUGGCUAGGCUGUAAACCCAACUUGGAAAAAGGUAAUGUAAUUAAGAUGUAACAAAAAACAACAAAAGAAGAGAACCAGAGAUGGAAACAAGAGAACAAUAUUGCACGGACGAUCAGCUACAGUUGAGUUUUGUGUUCAUUUGAAGUGAAAACUAAAAAAAUUAACCACUAAUGCACUAGCUUCUAUCACUAACCAUGAAAUUCUCCAACAUCAUUCCCACUAAGCCAUUAGGCCAGUUCCCUCCAAUUUAGGAGGCACUACCUAAAUUAAACCCAUCAACAUAAAUUAAAACUAAUUACAAAUUAAGUUGCACUAAUUCUUAACCUAAGAAAAACCCAAUUUGCAUGUGAGGAACCAUAACCAACGGCAGGAACAAAGAUUCAGCUCAUUCAUGAGAUCAUGGGCAAUUGCAAUUCACAUAAUAUUUUCCAAGCAGUGUAAUUGGGAAGGAAACUAAAAAAUUAUCAUUCAGCUAAUGGGUAUGGAGAUAAUUAAAAUCCAAAGCCUGGACAAUCAAAUUUCAUAUUGAACGAUGGAAAAUGAUUAUACGAAUAUGUUUGAAGUGAUACGAAGUCGUAAAACGGAUUGUCAAAGAAGAAAAUUCGUGUGCUAGAGGUAGAUACAGAUAUGCACUAACUCUGGGGAGGUCUAUGUGCUUGUAAAGAGACCAAUCAGAAGAACAAUCGUGAUCUUCGCAGCUGUGAUCGUGUAAGCAAGCCAUCUUUGAGGUUCCAGAACAAUAGGCAGAACGAAGAGAGAUUUCAGAGGUAAAAGAGAAAGUGCGAGAUGCUCAAAACGGCGCCGCUUCUGUACGUGAAGGAUUGUUUUCGCUUUGAUAUAAAGCCAUUACAAGAAAACAUCAAUUACAUUUUGUUUGUUUUUUAAUAGCCGUGACUAAAAUAAAUCAAGAGAUUAUAAUAAAUGAAAUUAUCAAGAUCAAGAUGAUAUUUUCUAAUGGAACAAAAAAAGAAAGAAAAAACGAAAAGUUGUAUCCUUAAUUAUACUAAAAAGGAAUAAUAAUAAUCCAUCAACACGUUAUUUGGUAGCCUUCAACAUAAUUAGUGUUUGCAUUCAAAAUGUGGAAUAGAAAUAGGAUCAUGAAACGUCGAAACAAUGAAAAAUUAGAGUUGAGGAUCAUGAAACGUCGAAACGAUGAAAAAUUAGAGUUGAGUUGAGAACCGUGGAAAUGAAAUCAGUUUUAGUAUUACAAAUUCAAUCCAAAACCAAAACAUCCAAUCCAAACUCAUUCCACGACGAGUCUCCAAACCACUGUAAUCGUAUAGGAUGUGUGUUAAAGGAACAAAUUUAGGGUUACUUUGUUUAUAUAUUUUUUUGAAAAAAAAUACUAUUUACAAAUAGAUUAUUACAAAGAUCAACUUGGAUGAGCACCUUCAAUGAACAACUUUGAGAAUUAUUUUAGUAACCAACUUCAAAAAACGACAUACGAUGCCGAAUUUUGACAAUGACCUUUUAUGAUAAUCAAUUUUGAUGGUUACUUCAUGCCACUAACCCUAGUGAAAAGUAUUUUUAUACUCUCCAAUACAAACAAUUACAAUUCAUACUAUUUUAAUUAAUCUACACUCUAAAUAUACAUUUCAUAACAUAGAUUCUAUUUCACAUAUUACAAUAACCAACUCGAAGUCACAAAGAAUCUCGUCUACAAAUCAAUCUCGAGUAGAUAUGAUUUUCCUUUUCUUCUCCGUCGUGUGAACACUAUGUGCCCCAAACAACCCUACUAUGUUGGAUUUCUUAAUUAACAAGGGAACUCAUUUUUGUCCCAUGUGUUCAAUGACGGACGUUAAAUGUACUUUUCAUUUAAACUAAGCAAAGGGAGAGAGAGGAAAAAAAGUUAAGGCUUCACCAAAAAAAUUUAAUUAUUGUUUAGAUGAUUUGAUCAUCAACUUAAUUGACUAAUAAUUUGUAACAAAUAUAUUGCUUAUUUAAAGCUUGAUUUCAAAAUUACUCAAUAAACAAACAGUACAAUCAAUCACAAAAAUUCAACCCUAAAAUGCAUCAAUCGUACAAAGUUUAGUAAUAAACAUUAAUUGAUAGAAAGUAUUCUAUUAUGAUAGUUUUGAGGCACAUAUUUUAGGUUGGAAGAAGCACAAUUCAUAGAUAUAUAAUAACUUUAAAUUGGUCCAUACAAUAUUUUAAUUAAGUGAUAUUGUUUUAGUUAAAUUAAAUUUCAAUCCGUGUAUGAAUUUACUUGAUCUCGAACUUAAAAAAUCUUUUUUGAAAUGUUUACUUGACAUUUCAAUUUGUAUUCAACAAUCUUUAGUUAAUUUAAUUGAUGUUUUUAAACGUUAGAGACUUAUAAUACACAAUAUUAAAAAUUUAUUAGACACAAGUUUUAAUUUUAUAUCUUAAUUGUUCAAUUAACGGUUAAAAGUUACUAUAUGUUAUAAAUUAAUGAACCUAUUAAACACAAAUUUUAAAAUCUUUAUAAAACGGAAUCUCUAUUUCUAAUACAAAAAUAGUUAUGGAUCAUGACAAUAUGUUUGCUACUAAGUAUGCUUAAAAAAUAAUAAGAACAUAUUAACUAACUAGUUAAAAACCAACACUAUUUUUAUAAGUUGUAGGUUGAAAAUUUAAUUCCUACCUUUACUAAAAAAAAUUAGAGUAUUGUUGAGAUGAAAAAAAAAAAAAAAAACCAUAUGCAUAUGGUAAAUUAAAAAGAUAUUUAUUGAUUGAAUUAUGGUAUAUAUCUGAUCUUAUAAGUAAAGUAUAUGAGAAUGGACAUAUUAUAUCAUAAUUUAUCCGUUCUAACUAGAAGACAAUUCAAGUACUUUGGUCAAAGACUCAAAGGUUAAUUAUGAAUGGAUUAUUUAUUAUAUAACUUAUCAUCCACAAAUUAUUUCACUUUUAAUGCAAUAUCCCUUUCUAUGAUAUUUUCUAAAGAAAAAAAGCAAUCACAUUCUCUGCCCUCUUUUAUCUUCUCUUUCUUUCUAAUAAUUAUCUGAUUCGUAUAACUAAAAGUUUAUUUUUCAUUCUAUUUAUAAGUUUUGCGAGUGCACGUUUGAGUUAAUAAAUUAAUCUUGAAAAGCAAUUGACAUGUACGAUUUAGUAUCGACGUCGAACUAAAUUUUACUUUCAAAACAGUGGUUCGAAACGAUACAACAUGAUCAACAAUUAUUUUGUCUACUACUACUAUAUUGUUUCAUUUUACUAGAAUUAUAAAAUAUAGCUAAAGUUAACAUUUAUUAAUUAGUUCUUAAUUUAAAUUUAUUUAUACUUUAUUAUUUAAAUAUACUUGCGUAAGAUUAUAUACCGUCACUGUAGGCAACGUAAUGAAAAACAUUUUGGUUAAUAUUUGAAUAUAGAUCUAUUCAAGAGCUUUCUCUUAAUGUAAGUGAUGAAUUUCUCUUGUUUAACCACGAACAUGAUUUUAACUAUUUUUUUUAAAAGGUCGGUCUUCCGUCUUUAAAUAAAACCAAUUUAAAAAUCACCUCCAUUCUUUAUUUGGAGAGUUUAUGAUUGAUCUCUUCCCAAACCACUGAUUAGGGUAAAUUUUAGAAAUAUAUUUUAAUAUCAUAACAAAUAUUAAUUAAGCCAAUAAUAAAGAUUUGAUUGAUAACAGUUUUACUAAAGUUGAAGAAACUAAAAAAGAAUGAAAAUGAUAUUUUAGUAUUAAAAAGGAUUGAAGAAAAAAGAUGAGAAAUGGACGGAUAAUAAGAUUCCACACCCAACCGCGAAGGAAUCUCGCCUAAUAUUGAUAUUUGCUAUUUAGUGGGUCAUAGCUUUCCCUAUCAACUUCAACUUGCAAUGUAUUAAAGUUGAAAAAAUGACCGCAACUAUUAUCAUUACACGUGUAAGGUCAGGAUUCAUCACCAGGGGCAACUAAGUCUUUUACAAAAACCCGCAAGAAAAUUUCCAAUUUUCUUUUUUAUAUAUAUUAAGUGAAUUUGUAAUCAUCGUUCUAUACCCACCGUGUAGCCCAAGUUUCCCGGCAACUUCAUGGCUCGAAUCCCCACCGGAGUUUUACUCUCUCUUCUAUUCCUUGCCGUAAUCGGUCUACCUGCCGGAGCCCGGGACCUUCCCGGUGAUUUUCUCCGGUUGCCGUCCGAGGCACUGAAAUUUUUUCGCGGAGGAGCUUCCGACGCUAGCGACGAAGACUCCGUGGGGACGAGAUGGGCUGUUUUGAUCGCUGGUUCUAAUGGAUACUGGAAUUACAGGCAUCAGGUUUUUUUUUCUACGAUUGAUAAGUUGCACUGACUUUAAUUCAUUUGAUAAGUUUGUGUUGUGUUAUGAUGUUGACCUUUGUGAUUGAUUGGCGUUUUCGUGUUCGUAUUUCAUACUUUUUACCCAAAAUGUCUGUUGUGCAUUAUAUCUGUUGCUGAUACUUGUCUGAUCCAUUUUCUCACUGCUUUUUAUUUUUAACCUAAACUUUAUCAUCGGUGAUUCUUCUUGGCGUGAGAUCGAUUUUUUUUUUUUUUUCCAGUUAAACUAAGUCUGCAUUCUUUUGAUCUUUACUCUUCGUCGUCUGCUUUUUUGAUCGAUUGACUUUUUUCUGUUUUUCGAUUAAGAAAUUGUAGUAGUUCUGUUCUUAUCCGUUUCAUUUUUUUCAAUACAUAUGUUCUUAGUUUAUUUUAAAAGAAAAAAAAUAAUUAAGCCUUCAAAUUAAUUAAAUAUUUGUUGCUGUUAAUAAUUCUUAAAAAUUGAGCUGAAAUUCUCGAAGAACAUGGUUUUUUCAACGCCCUUCCAUUUGUCGUUGCUACCAUGUGAUCGAUAUAACUUUUCGAUUUUGCUCCAAAAUAACCACGUUACCUGUAGCUACUCUCAAACAAAGUUUCCUUGUUUAUAAUUGUCAUGUUGAACGAGUAACUGAGCGUUUAAGGCCUAACUGCAAAAGUUUAUUUGAAGGCACUUUUGAAAAGUUUUAUUUCUUGUGUUUGUAGUGACUUUUUUUUUAUUUUAACAAGUAACAGUUAUUUUCAGUGCUCUAUUUGGGUUGCAAAAUCUCAACUCCAUACUAGCCAUAGUUUAAAUUUCUUGGUACUAAACUGGAGUAAUCUUUUAUACUUCCUAUGUAUAAUAUAUAUGUAUAUAUAUAUUCAUGAAUAUCUGGGCUAGCUGAGGCACACAUGAGCAUUUGGGUGUCAAGGAAACAGGCAGGAUAUUAAAUUCUACGUAGGUGGUCACCAUGAAUUGAAUCCAUAACCUCUCAACCAUUUUUCAAGGUCAAUAUAACCAUUUAUUAUCUUAAUAAAAAAGAGUUUGUGACUCCUCUAUGGAAAGUAAAAAAGAGCUAUAAACACAACCAGUAAUUAAAGUUACAAAUCAAAGGAGAGAAUGGAGAUAUAAUUAAGAAUUAAUAUAAAUUUGUUGAACAAGCGUAAGUCAACAGAGUCUAGGUGCUACUAUUCUGCUCUCAACCUUGUUUUAUUAUGUGAGUGUCGUAGAUGGUUUAAUUGAUUAAAAAGGCUUAGAGAAUGCUGAACUCAUUUUCCACCAGGCUGAUAUCUGCCAUGCUUAUCAAUUGUUGCGGAAAAAUGGGCUAAAAGAUGAGAACAUCAUAGUCUUCAUGUACGAUGACAUUGCCUUCAAUCCAGAGAACCCAAGACCUGGUGUCAUCAUCAACCAUCCAAAGGGUUCUGAUGUUUAUCAUGGAGUCCCGAAGGUUUUCUUUUUCUCGUUGCCCUAUCGAUUCUAAUUUUACGCCUGAUUCAUCUGAUGGUAGCUACUUAUGCACUCUACGUUUUGGCCAUGGCAGGAUUACACUGGUGAAGAUGUUACCGUGAACAACUUUUUUGCUGCCAUUCUUGGAAACAAAACUGCUCUUACAGGGGGUAGUGGGAAGGUUGUUGACAGUGGCCCUAAUGAUCAUAUUUUCAUAUACUACAGUGAUCAUGGUGGUCCUGGUGUGCUUGGUGAGUGGCUUGUUCUGUGUAGUUCGCAUACUAUUUGAGGUGACCUAUCAUGCUUAUCUGGCACCAUCUCUUUGGAUAUGUUUGUUGCUCGAUGUGCUUGAUUUAUAUCUGUAAACAAUAGCACGAUUAGUUUACAUUUCCAUAUUAUCUUUUAAAGGCAGCCAACCAACCAAAAUUCAAUCUUAAAAAGCGUGCUUUGAUUUGAAACUGAUAGUACAGCCUCAUUUACCUAGGAAACACUUAUUGGUAUCAUUAUUGUAAAAACAUUAAUCGAAGAUAAACUUGUGUUAGAUUUCUCUAACUAGUUUGUUACUUGAUGGAUAAGAAAUUUCUCAUCUCUGAUAUAUCUUGUUCAGGGAUGCCUACCUAUCCUUAUAUGUAUGCUGACGAUCUUAACAAAGUUCUAAAGAAGAAGCAUGCUGCUGGAUCCUACAAAAGUUUGGUAUAUUAUUGUACUGUUCAUUGCUUGAGACUGCAUCUGUCCUUAUAAUGUAACCAUAUAUAAUGAGAGUGGAACUGUUUGUAAUAUUUUAGGUAUUCUAUCUCGAAGCUUGUGAAUCAGGAAGUAUCUUUGAAGGUCUUCUUCCUGAAGGUUUGAACAUUUAUACAACGACUGCAUCAAAUGCUUAUGAAAGCAGUUGGGGUACUUAUUGUCCAGGGGAUUAUCCUAGUCCUCCACCAGAGUAUGAUACUUGCUUGGGUGACUUGUACAGUGUUGCUUGGUUGGAAGACAGGUAAAAAGAUAAUAGUAGGCUUGUUCUAUUGUUUUUAUACUUUGUUAUUUUGUUAUUUUGUUGUUUUUGUUUUUGUUUUUUGCUUGGUGUUUUAAUUUAUCAGUAAAAGAAAAUGAUAUCAAUGCCGAAAUCCAAAAGGUAAUGUUUUUUGAUGUUGUGCAACUUUGAUUUUGGGCAUUUGUUCUGAUUUCCAUGUUCUCAUCGUUAUAUGUACUGCCGCACCAUACUUCUGGUGUCUAGUGUUCUGUCAAGCCGAAGAAUGAGUCUCACAAAAUUAUUAGAUCCAAAAGCAGAUUAUUACCUUUUAAAUAAGGGAUCCAAACGCAAAUGACGUGAGUUAAAAUAAUGAGGAAGUGGUUUAUUUUAUUCAGAACCUCAAGAUUUUUACUUUCGUGCUGUAACAGUGAUAAUCACAAUUUGAAGACAGAAAGUUUACGCCAGCAAUACGAACUGGUAAGAAUACGUGGACCUCCGUUUUAGGAGAAAUCAACUUCCCAAGUUUAAAUUUGGUUCUUAAAAAUGAAAAAUUUUCUACCAGAUUUUUUCAUCCUUUUGUAAUUGUACUAAAUGUACCAAGUCUAAAGGACAUUUUAGUGUGUUUAUCAAAAUGAAAAAAAAUCCCAUUAUGCUCGUUUGAUCUGAUUUGAACUGUUGGUUUCUUCAGGUGAAAAAAAGGACGCUAAGUGGCCAAUAUGCCUAUGGUUCCCAUGUCAUGCAAUACGGUGAUCUAAUGCUCAACAAGAACGCUUUGUUCUCAUAUCUGGGUACUGAUCCUGCUAAUGAGAACAACACUUUUGUCGAGGAAAACUCCUUGAGGCCAGCUACAAAGUUCACCAAUCAGCGUGACGCUGAUCUGGUCCACUUUUGGGAGAAGGUUAGUUUCUUCUUUUUCUAUUUUCAAAUGGAUAAUAUAUGAACCCUGCUUGGUAUACUAGUAUAUAGUAAAUAAGUGAUAUUUUGAGGUUCGCCAAAUUGAUAAUAUUUCCUGUUUUAGAUAGUGAGAACAAAGCAUUCUUGUGCGUUAGAUCCAAUUUUUGAGACUUUUGUGGCAAUUUUUUAAAUACUACACUUGUCACCUCUCUAAUGUAGGGAUUGUAGUAUUUACUUGUUAAUCUUGGGUUUUUUCUUGCUUAAAAUUAAUUUUGGUUUCGACAUCAUUCAAGACCCUCUCACCCCAUCCGUGCUUGUUGAUCUUAGUUUCGCAAAGCUCCAGAAGGCUCCCUGACGAAAGUCGAAGCUCAGAAGAAGUUCGUGGAAGCAAUGUCCCAUAGAGCUCAUAUCGAUAACAGUGUGAAGCUAGUUGGAAAGCUGUUGUUUGGAAUUAAAGAAGGUCCUGAGGUGCUUGAAGCCAUCCGUCCCGCAGGAAGACCCCUUGUUGAUGACUGGAACUGUCUUAGGAAUAUGGUAUAAUUUCAAUAUAAUUGGAUACUGCACAGCCCAUUUCAGUCAACCAGUCAAAUGAUGUUUAGUUAUAUUUUUACUCAGUAUAAAAGUUAGUUAAUUCUGAAAUGAUUCAAUACAAACAGGUUAGGAGCUUUGAGGCACGUUGUGGAUCUCUGUCUCAGUACGGAAUGAAACACAUGAGAUCCUUUGCAAACCUAUGCAAUGCUGGAAUCAGCAAGGAGCAGAUGGCGGAGGCAUCGGCGCAAGCUUGCAUGAGUGUCCCUCCGGGCCCUUGGAGCUCUCUACUCAAGGGCUUCACUGCAUGAUGACGAAACCCAAGUCAGUCAUCGGAUUUGGAAGUACGUUUCUCCCACCAUUGUUUAUAUCACAUCUAUGUUCAAAUGGGUCUGUCGACGACAAGUCAUUUGUAAAUAGAACCACAGGCCAUUGUGUUAGGUGAGAAAAAAGGGGCAUAUAAUUGAAAUGUUGAACUGAAGAAAUACGCAUCUGUUUAUAAGAAGAAGGCUCUGGUUGUGUUGGCAAGAACGAUCAAAAUUCCAAAUGUAUUGAUUGUAUGUAGUAGAAUUAUGGUGUGCUUUUUACAUUGAAUGACAAUAUAUUUUCACAUGAAUACAAAAUUCCAACCUCCAAAAGAAGAAAAGUGAGAAAACAAAAAUGCAUGAUUGAAAUAUUGGUGAGAAAAGGCAUAAGAGGUGGGCUAUACUUAUAGAUGGGAUAUGGGUGAGAAGGGUAGGCUCCACUCCUUUCCUCCUUCACUUGUUUAAACUUUCGUCAAUUUUAAAAGUAGAAUGGGGAGUUUGUGGGUUGUGGUAGUUGAAAAUGGUUAGAUGUUUUGGUAUAGAAUUUAGUGGGGGAAGAGAUAAAUCCACAUAUUGGGAUUAUUGGGAUACUGUUUGUGUGUGUGUGUGUGUGUGUGUGCCCCCAUUCUCCACCUCCCUGGAUCCACAUUCUUCUAUUAUUCCCACUUUUGCACGCUUUGUUUCUUUCCUUUUAUUAUUUUAAUACCAUCUAAUUUCAUGUUCUUUAACUUUAUUGUUUUAAUACCAUCAAUUUAUAUUGUAAAAAAAAAAAAAAAAAGAGUUCCUUUUGCAUCUUAUCUGAAUGUGAAUGUUGGUUUCUAUACUAUAUUUGUAAUUUUUUUAAGAUAUAAUGAAAAUAUGAUUCACUCUUUCAUCAUCUUAAUAUUGAGUUUAGUUAGAUAGAAUAUGUAACAUUUGUCAUCUUAGUAAUUCUUUUAAUCGUGGCUUUAAAUUUACUUUAUUAUUUUCUCGUUGUUUAGUAAAGGGAUGGAAUAUCAAUUAUUGAAACUCGAUUUGGUUGUUUUGUUUAAACCCCAAAUUAUGAAUCAGAAUUGGUUCCAUACAUAAUUCUCAAAAUCUCAUAAUUCUCCAAGAAAAUAAAGAUUUCAAAUGUAGUUUCUGGUCUAUAGAACUUUAAGUUUUUUUACUUUUAGGCUUCAAUAAUUUUUUUGUUUGUUAAAAUAGUAUUCUUUCAAUUUUUUAUUAUAUAUAUAUAUAGUUCCUAGUUGAAAGGAAAAGUUGAUUAAGAGGUAUAUGUGAUGAUUUAAUAAUUUAUUCGAAUGAUUGUGUUUGAAGAAAUUAAACUAGUUGCCAACUAUAUGAAUCAAAUGAUUUUGAAUUCAAAGGUAAUAGUUAGGGAAUUGGAUAUUUUUUUUUUUCUAGUGGAGCAUCUAAUGAUACCUUUUUCAAUAUCAUUAUUACGGAGAUGAAAAUAAAAAAUUGACUCUUGAAUUAGAAUUAUGUCAAUUACUAACAAGCUAAAUUCACCUUUUCAUUAAGAGUCAACGAGACGAAAACUAAUAUGGAUACAUACUUUUGUUUAAAUUCAACGAGUAUGAUUUGAUUAUUUUGUUUCUUUUAAAAUGAGUAUGAUCUUAAUAUUACAAAAUACAAAUGGAUGGACAAAAGUUUCUUAUUAAAAAAUCAACCCCACUACUGAACAAAGGCACCAAAAGAAAAAGAAAAAAAAAAGAAGAAAAUCUUCUUCAUAUGCUCUCUCAUUUGGAAAAACGAAAAGGAACAAAAGUCUUUUUAUCUUUUUCUUUUUUUCCUUCUUAAAAAGUAGAUAAAACUUCAAAUAUGGAAAAGGUAAAUUCACAUAAUGACUAAAAGCAUUUUUAUUUCAUAACCUUUAUUUAUACAUAAAUACGCAUGUGCCUUUAUUGGUAAUCUUUCUUUGUUUUUGUUUUUUAAUUGGUUUUUAAAAACUAAAGUGUAUUUGGUAACUAAUUCACUUUUUAUUUUUAUUUUUUAAAAAAAAACUUUUUUUAAAAUUAUAAAGAAAAAUUGAAAAUGAAAGGACAUCUUUAAAAUAACAACAUUAUCAAAUAUAUAUGGUUUUUAUCUUUAUAAAAAAUUAGAAAAUAGAAAAAUGAAAACAAAAAUAAAAAUUGAAAUGGUUAACUAAACCUGUUCUAGAAGUUUAAAAAUAUAAUGAUAAUUAUAAAUAUGUUUGGAGAUUUUUAAAAGAAGAAGAAGAAAAUUGACGAAUUAUUUACGUAAUCCACUAAAAGUCAAAAUUUAUACACUUAUUUCUCUACUAAUGAUAAAUAUUCUAUUUGUAUGGUUUUUCCCUUUUUUCUUUUUUUGGUAGAGUGGGGGCUCGAAAAUGAAGUUUAAAUAAAGUUAUGUGAUGAACUAACAAUAGGCUAAAAAGAUAAAAUCUUAUUAAAUUUACAUAAUGUUUUUUAAAAAAACGAACUCAUUUAUUAAAUUUGAGGGUACAAUGGUGAGUUUGAUGUGAUUUUUUAGAAGUUAGGGAAGGAGUGGAAAGUGAAAAUAAAUAUAAGCUUAUAAUUAUUAAUAAACAUGAGAAAAGUGCUUUGCAUUAUUAGGAAGUUUACAACAAACUCUAAUUUUUAAUUUAACUUGUUUGUUUCUAAUUAAUAUAAUAUCAACUUGUCAAUAUUUGAACUUUUAUAUAACAUUUCAGUCCUUACAUAUUCUUUUAUAACUUUUAUAUUCUCCAUUUAAAUCCUUUGACUAAUUAAAACUUUUAUUAUGUAUAAGGAAAAUUUUAAAAAAUAAAAUUUAUAAUUAUUAAGUAAGCAAGUGAAUGGUACGAAACAUGUAAGCCUCAAAGUUAUUAUUUCAAUUUUAUUUUAUCAUCUUUUAAAACACGUUCGAUGUUGAUGAUCUAAGCUUUUUACAGUUCUUGGUAUAUGAUUGCAUGUGUAAAGAGUUUAAACCUCGAGUAGGGAAGUAGUUAUACUUUCCUUGAGGUCUUCAAUCAUGACAAGAUUUUUAAUUUUUAAAUUUUUAGAAUUAAAGUUUUCAUAUAUAUAAAAUAAAUUUAUUAAGUAAUUUUGUAUGAUUGACUCAAACGAAUGGUGUCUCGUUUAUAUAAUAUUAGGAUUUGUGGUAAAUAAUUUAUGGGAUGGUUUUGGAGAUGAAAAAAAAGUAAAAGAAUAUGAAGAAAUAUAGAGUUGCAUUUAAUGAUUGUAUUGUGGUGUUUUGAAACAUCACGACUCUCUUCCACAAAACGUUUUCUAAAAUCACAAUGGAUAAAGUCAAAUUGUUGGUGAAGAAUCCUUUGUUUUUUCCAUUAAUAAUUGUAUCUAUCAAAUUUAAACUUUAUCCAUUUUUAUAUUUUACAAAAAUCUACCUACCAAUCAUAAAUAAAAUUAAUUUACAUAUUAAUCAUAAUUAACUAAAAAAUGCAAUAAUACAUUAGAACACUACCACUACAGGUUUUAACUAUGCCAAAUUAGUUUUAAAACUUUGAAAUAUAUGUAUAUACAUUAUAUGGUAAAGUAUUGAGGUAGAUUUGUUAGAAUAUUAAUAAAAUAAAGUAUCUAAGUUGAAAAGAAGGUGAAGGGGAGGAAGACAUGCAAGGUGAUUGGAUUACAAACUAAUUACAAACUAGAUUUGAGAAGAAUAGUUUGAAUUUUGGGUAGUAGAAAAGGGAGAAGGUAAGAAUGAAUGGUAGAAAUAAAUAUUUGGUUAAAGGAAACCCUAAUAUAAAUGUUUAUAAAAGAAUGAAUUGAAGGGGUCAUUGAUUGCAGUGAAAUGAAAGUAUUGAAAGUUCAAUAAUUUGGAGAGCCCCAUGGGACGUAUAAUCGGUUUGGGUAUUGACCGGAUACGACAUUACGAAAGCACUUUUAUUCAAAUGCUUUAACCAUGGUUAAUACUCCAAACUAACCAUAGUUAAGUACCCUUCCCGGUUCUAUCUAACCUCUAACCUCUAACCUCUAACCUCUAAGCUCCAAAGCUCUAAAGCUCCAUCACAUCGGCGGUUCCACACGAAAACAAAACUUAAAUAAUAAUAUAAAAGAAUAUUUUAUUUUAUUUUUGUUAGGAGAAUGAACGGACGUUAAAGAUUCCGUCAAAUUGGUUAACGCGGGGGGAUAAACGUAACGGUCGAUUGGAGAAGAGAGGAAGGAGCGGGACUCUCAGUGGACGGAAAAGCAGAUGAUGAAGCAGAGCCGGACGAUGGUUUGAUGGACGGUCAUAGAUGGAUAUUGCUGAACGGUUUAAGCGAUGUGGGACUUGGAAGAGCGUAUAAAAAUAGAGAGUUGAAAGGGUGAGAGGCCAUUUCGUUGUAUCAUUGAGGAAGGACCUCUCUGUACUACUUCUCUUUAAACUUCCCUUCUAACUCUUUCUCUCUCUCUCUCUUUCUCUUUCUCUUUCUCUUCUACAUAUUUAUAUUUCUUUCUCUUGAUGUCUCUGUAAUUAUUUCCUUCAUUUGAAGCUUUCAAAACCACCCAACAGCUUAAAAUUUUGAUAGUAUUACUGGGUUAAUCGAUCUAAGAUGGCUCGGGUCAUUGACGACUUUUAAGGCAUUGAAAUUGUUGUAAGAGAUGAGAUAAUCGACGGGGGGGAAUUUGAAUCUGGGGUCUGUUUUCUUGGCUGAUUCUGUAAUUGAUUUUUUUUUUUUUAAUAAAUUCGGAGUUGAAUUUUUGGAGAAGAGACUUUGAGUUUUGAAGGUUUGAUAAUUGAAAUCAAUUCACUGUUUAAGGUCUUUGUUGUUCUGGGUUUAGAUCUUAUCUUCUGAAAUUAGUUUCUAACUCUUGAAAUUUUCGUUGUGCAGAUAAAUACAGAGCGAUUUUAGUUGUUCGUUUGAGGGGUUUCUAAGAGAUUUGUUACCUUUUUUGAAAGUGGAAGAAGAAUUGGACUGAGAAAAAUGCAAGCGAUUAUCGGACUCUGGGAUUCGGAUUUACAUUUCGCUUGUUUUCUGCGGUGAAAUAAGCAGAUUUCUGUUCUUUGGAAGAGCUGAUUCUUGGGGGGGAGGGGGGCAAACCCAGAUCAGAAAUUUCAGGUACUGAUUGGUUAUCUUCUUGGUGUAUUUUGUAGGCUCUGUUCUUUCUGUUCUAAUUAUUUUCGUCCGAAAUUUCAGGUCUGAUUUUCUUCCUGUUCAUUGCUACCUUCAGCAUCCAAUAGCUAUCGCUUCCUCCUCUGUUCGAAUUCUUAGGGUCUGAUAAUAUGCUUUCAGAAUUUAAAAAUUCGAGUUGCUUCUUCCAUGGAAGGAUCUUCUAUCUCUCUGUGAGCCAUUGGGAAAUCUGGAUCCCCUGUUUCCAUGUGAAAUUCUUCUUGUUUCUUUGAGUUCCUCACAUUUUCAAGAUUUUCCCUCAAAUUUCCUCUUAAUUUCAGACCCAGCGUCUUCCCAAUACUUUUCUUCAGAAACCCAGACCAGUUCGGCUUUUCAAAUUUCGUGAAUUCCGUCUUCGGAUCAUCGAGAAAACCCCAUGUUCUGGUCUCUGACUGUUUGAUGUUCUCCUCGAGUAAAGUUUUUACAGUGUUGAUGGCGAAAACGUCAUAUUUCAGUGCUUGAAAUUUCUAAUCACCUUUGCUCUGUCCAUUUUUCUUCGUAACUUCGGGAUUUUCAUCCGAAUCCAAUUGACUGCAGAACCUGCUUUUUAUCCAUUUCCCCUUUCGUUUCUCUUUGCUACUUUAAUUGUAGAAUCUUCUGAGUAAUCUUUCUUCAGACUAACCCCCUUUUGAAAUGGGACAGGUAGUGUAUAUAUAAUUAAGCAUAUGGAGAAAGAAAAUCUCAGAAUCAAUAGCCAUGGCAAUUUCGUUAGUAAUAAUCUCAACGGGAGGGAUAGAACCAGCGUGGACAGCUCGCUGUUGUUGCGAGCGAGAUCCGAAGCCGCCGUUGUCGCCGUCGCAACGAGACCGCAGCCAACGCCGUCGGAAUUUGUGUUACAAUGGGGAAACCGGAAGCGUCUCCGGUGUAUGAAAGUUCCGGUUAAGGCCAAGGAUGUUUCCGCCGCAGCACCGGCUCACAGAACCACCGUCCGAGUGGACCGGCGAGUCGUUAGAGCCGAUAAAGACUCGAUUAUACAUAACCACCAACCAACUUCUAAUCAUAACCUUAAUCCGAGUAAUGGGUAUUUGAAUCUCCGUCAACGGCCGAUUUCUCCUCAACCGCCAGUUCUACCGCCGCCGCCAGCUCCAUCUCAGCGUAUUCUAAGGUACUCUCUGUUUCUCUCUCUUUUCUUCAACGCCAAUCUUUCGUAAUUUCUUUUUUAAUCUCUUUGAUCGUUCAAAUCUCAUCCGAUAUUUGAGAUUCCUUUUUCCCGGCUAUGGGAUUCAAAAUCCCGAUGUAUUCUUUUAAAUGGGCCUUUCUAUUUGGGCUUUUAUUUUAUUGGGCUUUUUAUUUGCUUGCUGUAACGCACUGCAUAUCUAAAUAUCUAAGAAACAUAUUAUCGCUAUUUAUAUACUCAUAUCAUAAUCAAUAUUUGACAACAUAGUCUAUGAUUAACACUUAUUGGCUACAUUAUUGUAAAAAAAAAUUCAAUAAUCUUUCUUUUUCAAACAAUAAAAAAAUAAUUGUAUAAAUGCAACUUGGUAUUGGAAUCUGAUGAAAUGAUGAACCAAACAUUGAAGGACGCAAUUUAGCCUCGUUGAUUAGGACACGUCUUCCAUUUCUUCCACGUGUCGUUUUCACUGUGGAAUAAUAGCCGUCGGAUCAUCAAUCGCAGUGACCACUGGUGUCCCCAGAGUGUCUCCAGAUCGGCUGCCCUGGAGCGGACACGUAAUCUCGAACUUGUAGAUCCAAAGGCUGAGGUUGGGGCGAGGUAGUCAUGAUUUGAAAAGACAGGUUUGUCCUUAAGAAAAAUCUAAGCCAUUGAAUGAAAGAAUAGAGACGAAGUCCCCCAUUUUGUACGCAAAUUCUAAGCCAGAUUUCCCCCAACGAACUCCAACAUCCUCCAAGGUCAUUCCCGUAAUUUCAGCCCACGAACGUAAAUAAAUUAAAUUUGCUUUUCUUCUUUUUUCCCUUUUUUUUUUUCUUCUUCUUUAAUGAGUAAUCUUUCAAUCUUUCGUGAGAUUUGUUCUUUAGGCCUUUUGUUUUGGUAAUCUAUGUGUGUAUGUCUUGUGGGGUUGGGAGUCUUUUUUUUAAAAAAAAGAACUUUUUGGUGAAACUAAGUAGUAAACAAACAGAGACUGAGUUUUUGUUUUUAAAAAAAUUUGAUUAGGAACUCUGAGAUUUCCGGUACGAUGAGAGCCCAAUCCAACGGCGGUGUCAGAGCAAUUACUUCUCCGGACAGGGCAGCGCCGGAGAAAAAACCACCACCGUCUCAUCACGACCACCACCAUAAAUCCGCCGCUACCUCAGACACAAAAAAAGGUGGGUCAUCUUCCGGCAGCGGAGAACCAACUGCACCGCCGCAAGCGCUGCCGGUUUGGCCACCGAAGUUCGUAAUAGCUUUAACGAACAAAGAGAAGGAAGAAGAUUUCAUGGCGAUCAAAGGGUCAAAACUGCCUCAGAGACCUAAAAAACGAGCAAAAAUUAUUCAACGCACCAUCAAUGUAAGCAAAACACCAAUCCCCCCGUCUUUACUUUUCCAGAUUCGUUCUCUACCUUUUCUUUUAUUGGUUUUAAUUACUUUUUCUUCCUUAGUUACGAACUGAUUCUCAUGCGCUAUAAUUAUUAAUUAUUAAUUAUUAAUUAUUAAUAUCAUUAUUACUUCUGCUUUAAUUAUUUAUUUGAACCCUAAUUUUCUUUUAAUUUUCACCGAAUAUUUAUUUCCUAGUAAUUAUUCAAUGAGAGCAUUAAUUGAAAAUAAAACGAAAAAGGGGGGUGUGGGGGUGAGAGAGAGAUAUUAAGGGGAGAGUUGUGGCAAUGGAAGGUUGAUGGAAUGCCACGUGGAGAGAUAUGGUUUGAGUGUUAUUUACCGGAAAUGAAGGCAUUGUGUGUGGGUGAAUGAAUGGUUUAACCAAUUACUAGUCGACAGAUAGACAAUCGCUGAGUUGUCCCAUCCUCGCCUUCAACAGUUGGGAGUCCUUUGGGUUUCUUUUUCUUUUAUCUAAAUAAUCAUGUUCACAUUCAACCUUACUUUUUGUAAUAAAUUCUUAAUUUCCCUCUUCCCUUUUACUUUUCUAUAAAUAAUAUUUGUAAAAGUAUAUUACAUUUUGUUCAGGAUUUAUUUAAUUUGUGUGUUGGUUUGGUGUUUGGUGUUUGGUGUUUGCUAUUUGGUGGUGGCAGCUGGUGAGUCCGGGGACGUGGCUAUGUGAUUUAACGUUGGAGAGAUACGAAGUAAGGGAGAAGAAAAUUUCUAAAAAGGUAUGUAUUUUUUUUCUUCUAUUUUUUGUGUUUAUUAAUUUGUGAAUUGUAAGAAUUGAUUCUUGUUAUUUGAAUGUGUUUGGGAUGCAGAGACCAAGAGGGCUUAAGGCAAUAGUGAACAUGGAGUCGGAGUCCGAGUGAGGAAAAGAGGAGAGUUUCUGAUCACAUACCAAAUUAAUUUAGAACCACUGUUUUGUUGUGAUUUUGUGGAGAGGAGGGGAAGAAGCUUUUAAUUAUGUGAAUUACAUAAAUAUAAAAUAUAUAUAUAUAUAUAUAAGUUGUAGAUUUUCUCUUGGCUAAUUGAUUUUAUUAGCAUAAUGAAAUUGUAAUUAUUCUAAUUUUUUAGUUCUAAGUUGAUCCUUUUGAUAACGGUUUUCAAGUAGAAAUUACCAAUUCUUAGAUUGAAAAUAGAAAUGAGGGUGGAAGCUACAUUUGUUUAUGGAUUAAAGAGCUUUUUCUUUUUUUCUUUUGUGUAAAGAUAUAUUGGCUUAUCAACUAACUUUUAGAAAAACAAAUCCUCCAAGAAUGAAAAAAACUCGGAUUAUCACUUUACUACAACUGCGUCAGUUGAUUCUCUAUCUUUUUUUUUUUCUUUCUCCUCAUCCUUCUUCACAUACUAAAUCAAAAGCCUAAUUUCCCGAAGUUCCCAACUUUAAUUUCCCACACUUUACACCCACCCCUUCCUCUCCUUCAAACUAUUUCUUUCUUCAACAUAUUUUUUCUUAAAAUUAACACAAAAAAAAAAAAAAGUUUCAUACAAUAACUUAUGAUAACAACUUACGUAAACAGUAGAAGGUAUUUCCUUUGGUUUGACAAAAUCAUAGAGAAUAAUGAAACUAUUAUUUUAUAAUGAAAUUCUUCAAAUGGUAGAGACUAAACUACAACUCUCUUUGAAUCAUAUUUAUUGUUAAUUAGCUAGUUUUAUGAUUUAUAAAUAUAUUACAAACACGUUAAACAAAUUUUAAAAUUAUAAUCUAAUUGAAUUUGUUUCCAAACACAUAUUUAAGAUAAAACAUAAAACAUGAAAUUAAGGAGAGGAAGAACUCUAUGUUACCAAAAUACUUUUCUUCUAACUUUUACAGAAAAAACAUUCUUAGAUUUAAACAUAAUUUUAAAUCUAUAAUGGCUGGAUUGCCAUGGUAUUAAAAAAUUAAAUGUAAAUCAUAAAAAGCUAAUAUUGCAAUAUUUAGAAUUGUAAAUUUCUUGAAACAAUCAAAUAAACUUCAUGUGAGUUCAAAAGGGUAUGCAAAAUAAAUUCUAUCGAGUAUAUAAAAUAAAAAGAAUGAAUAAAGAAAAGGAAAAAAGAACUCAAAAUGAAAAUAUAUUUGAGUUGAGCAUCACAAAGAUCACAAGUAGACUUUAUUAGUGGACAACAGAAAUCAACCAAUAUACCAUUUCAUUAAUAUAAAUAAUUCUCUAUAUGCUUUGGAUUCGUCCUUCUUAGAGAAGAAAAAAGAAAAGCAAAAAAGGCAACCAUGUUCUUGUCAUCAAUUCUCUAGCUGUAAAAAUUGCCAACCAUAAAAUUAUUGGCACCUUUCCCUUUCGGGUUUUCAUUAUUCAUUGCACAUGCCUCGCUGCCCCACAAAUUCUACUUCAAUUGGACUUCUGUUGGUCCAGAUUUCAAAUUAUUAAAUAUGCCUUACAAAUCUUGGAAUUCCACAAUUUAAUAAUCCUCAACUUAAUUCGGUAGUACACAAAAUGAUUUCUGAUGGGGUUUUUUUUUUCUCUCUCUCUCUCUCUCUUCAAGAAGAAAUUAAUCAAUCAAUUACAGUGAGAAUUACCAAAUUGUUUUGGCUAAGCGAAGAAUCUCAAAGAAAUUGUUGCAGUUAGAUAUAAUAAGCGAGUGUGUUCGUAUGAAUGAAUGCAUGAAAGAGUAAAGAAGAAGAGAGUAUUUAAAAAGAACGAAACAAUUUAUUUACUAAUCAUAACCAACAAAAUAUAGCACAAUCGUGAACAAACCAACACAACCUGCAUUCUAUAUAUAAGAAUGUGUAAACAAAAGAGGUCGUCUGUACCAAACGUGUAGAAAUUAAAGUCCCUUAGAAAAACAUCUAAAACAAAUUCCUCCGCGGCGCAAGGUUUUAGUUGAAGAGAGAAAAGAAAAAGAAAAAGGAAAAGCAGACCAUCACAAAUACAUGGAAGAGUCCAUGGCAAAAUCAAUCACCACAUCCGAAGGCCGGUAGCUCAGAUCCUGAGAGUAGAUCCGAAGGCGAGAGCAAGGAAAGCAGCAAGGCAAGCGGAGACGGCCGAAGGAGCAAUGGAGGUGGCAGGGGAGGCCGGACUGGGAGCCGGAGCCUCCUGAGCGGCGACGGAGGAAAGGGCGAAGAUGAGGGCAAUGAGAGCGAGGAGAGAAACUUUGGAGAGGGCGGCCAUUGGGUAAAAGAGGUAAUGGGGGCGGGGGGUUAGGGUUGAGGCGGGAGAGAGGAGAGAGGAGAGAACCGUUUGAUUGGGAAAUGAGAAAGGGAAAUAGUAGAAGGAGAGAUAUAUAGAGAGAAACGGGGAGGUGCAAGCUGGCGAAUGGUUGAAAGACAG